This 70046-nucleotide long non-coding RNA is filed under the name Salvia miltiorrhiza (redroot sage). RNAcentral's name for it is "long non-coding RNA (SMIL_LNC008008)". Lineage: Eukaryota; Viridiplantae; Streptophyta; Magnoliopsida; Lamiales; Lamiaceae. The record is from RNAcentral.
GGUUACCUUCUCCAAGCGCCGCAAUGGAUUGCUCAAGAAAGCUAAAGAGCUAUCGGUGCUCUGCGAUCUGGAUAUCGGCGCCAUAAUCUAUUCCUGCCGAGGCAAGCUCUACCACUACUGCAGCACCAACAGGUUAAUUUUUUUUAUAUAUAAUUAAAUUCCCAUUGCAAUGUAAGCUGAGGUUGGCCCAAGUUGCUGAUUUCCCAAAAUAGAAGUCUCGGAGCUUAAUUUAGCAUAAAGGUGUCGCCUUCCAAUUUCCAUCCCUUUCUUCCCCUAAAAACCUCGUGCUACGUCGUAUCGCUCAACUUUAUCCAUCUACNUAUUUAUACUUAUUCUCAUUAUAUACAUUCUCAAAUGUGUUAAUGGUGCGGAAUAUGCGAAAUGGAUAGUGAAAAUCAAAUGUUAGCCACCAAUUUAAUUGAGUUCAAAAAUUUUUGUAGGCCACUAAGUUAGGGCACUUUGCAAAGUUAGGCUACAUUUUUUCGGGCUUUCAAAUUUGGGCAAUUUAUUAUUAAUUUCGGCAUAAGUGAGCCAUAUUAUAGCCCGAUCGGACCCAAAUGUGACUCAUUUACGCCGAAAUUAAUAAUAAAUGAUCCAAAUUUGCAAAUCCAAAAAAAUGUGACUUAAUUUUAUAAAGCGCCCUAAGUUAGUGGCCUGCAAAAAUUUUGAACUCGAACAAACUAUAGCCAGCUUGAUUCAUUCGUUUGAGUUAAAUGAAAUGUACGAAACAAAUUUUAAAAAUGAACAAACAUUUUGGUUCAACCCAAAAUUAUAAUUUAAUUAUCUAAAUUUGUGAAAGAUUAAUGACUUUUGACUCUGUCGUUAGAGUUGGUGAAAUGCAAUUACUAGAAAUUGAAUGCACAUCAAUACAAGAAUGAACCACAUGCAUGAUCAGAUGGCCGAUUAAUUAUUCUUUCAUUUUUAUCAAUUUAAUUAGUCUCGUAAUAAAUUAGGCUAGCUAGCAUCGUAACCUUUGAAUAUACUUAACACUGUAUAUUAUUGAUAAGGUUACAUUUUUAUGACCAUAUGAUAAUGAUAUUGGGCAUACAAAUUAAAGAGUACAUAAUAAGUCAUGAUAAAGCAGAUGGUCACACAAUUAAGAUUAUACUAUCAAUAAAGCGUAGAUUUAGCUAGGGUUGAGUAUGUAAAUGGAUUGCUAAUAUCGCUAUGAAAUUAGUAGAAAAAGAUUAUGAGAGAUUUUAAAAAAUGGAGGCGACAAGAGAUUUUGGAAAUAAAUUAUUCAAGACAUCCUGCCAUUUUGAAAGCAACAAUUCAAUAACAUAGGCCAGAUGCUCUUUUUUAUUUAUUUAAGUGUCUGCUUUGAAUUUGGAGCAUCGAAAUGGCGUGCAAAUCGUCUUUUACCAAUAAGGAUGCGUUUUCUUUGGUUGUAAAUUUAUCAUGGGAAAAAGAAGGAAAAAUAAAAUUUCACCCUUUAAAUCAAUCAUUUUUNUUCUCAUAUUUUUUAUUUGACCCUUACUCAUUCCUCAUUUACACUAUAAAGAAGAGAUAAUAUCCUUUAAAAAUAGUGUGAUAAUAUUAUCUCUCCUUUGUAGUAUAAAUGAGGAACAAAUAAGGGUCAAGUAGGAAAUAUCAUAUGGGAAAAGAAAGGAAGGAUUUAAAGGGUGAAAUUUUGUUUAUCUUUUAUUUUCUCAUGAUAAAUUUACAACCAAAGAGAACACAUCUAAUGGUAACAAUCUUAUUCACUCAUUUAAUUUUAAAUUCGUCGGAACACUGCACAAGUAUUAGGUUGAGUAUGCAAUCAAAUAUUUCUAAAUUGGAUAAUUAGUAAAACAAGAAUUUCCAAAGAUAUACUAUAUUAUCCAUGACCCUAACAAAUUUAGGAAUUUGAAAGUUAUUUUUUGAGUUUGAUUCUAAUGCUAUAUUUUGUAUAAUCCCCUUGUAUAAGAAUGACGAAUGUGCAAAAUCCCCCCUCCGCCCAAAAGCCGCCGAACCAACCUACGAAAAUAUCCGGAUAAAUUGGGUUUUGUCGUUUUGUGGAGAUUUUCCCAAAUCAAAAUUAUGAUCAUAGUUAAAUACUGAACUGACCUAUCAAAGAUUAUAAUUGUAACAAUUAAAUCAUUAAAUUGACCAAACCUAAAUGAUACACUAUAAAUAUAAUUUAUGAACAUCCUGAUUUUUUUUAAAAAUUAAAUUAAAUGUGUAUGGACCACAUGAAGUUCUCAUGCGUCCCAUCCCAUUCAUGGCAUGAUCGAAGCUUGAAUGCUAGCUGCUGACACAAACCUAACACUAACACUAUUUGAGAUUUGCUAUCAUUUUUACUACUAGUGAGUAGUGAAUUGAUCCAAAUCCAUAAAACUAUGAGUCGGCGGCGAUGCCAAUGGUUUUUAUCCUGUGAUAAUGCGGUGUAUGUAGGUAAAUACGCUCUACCUGAAUACACACGUGUUGAAUAUGUAGCUGCAUGAAUAUUGAAUGCUCUAGCUUCUUCUCUUAUUAUUUUUUUUUUGGUUUUUACCGUAAAGUGGAAGAGAAUAGCGAUAGGGAGUGGGAGCGGCAAAAACUGCCGCUGCGAGCGACCACAAGCAAUCGACAGGUGUUUGGGCCCUCUCUUCUCUUGAAUUAGACGUGGAUGCUGAAUAGUCAGUCAUCCCCUCCUUCCUUCCAAGUCCAAUUGGAUUCCACUUCCUUUCCUUGCUAAUUAGAUAACUUUAUCCCAUUCCCAGAUUCGCUUUCCUCCACAAAUAUCUCUCAAUGCCGCUUCAUUUCCAGACCUAAUUUUUGUGUUCAAUGGGGAGGAGGAAGCUCGAGAUUAAGCGAAUCGAAGAUAAGAGCUCGCGCCAGGUUACCUUCUCCAAGCGCCGCAAUGGAUUGCUCAAGAAAGCUAAAGAGCUAUCGGUGCUCUGCGAUCUGGAUAUCGGCGCCGUAAUCUAUUCCUGCCGGGGCAAGCUCUACCCCUACUGCAGCACCAACAGGUUAUUUUUUUUUUAAUUAAAUUCCCAUUGCAAUCUAAGCUUAGGUUAAUUUCUCUCUCGAGUGAUCACGUCAGUGGGUGGCCCAAGUUGUUGAUUUCCAAAAAUAGAAGUCUCGGAGCUUAAUUUAGCAUAAAUGUGUCGCCUUCCAAUUUCCAUCCCUUUCUUCCCCUAAAAUUAAACCUCGUGCUACGUCGUAUCGUUCAUUCUUCUGCUCCAAUUUAUCCAUCACUAUCAGGGACGGACCUAGGAAUUUAAUAAUGACCGCACGAGAUUUCACCGGAUGAUUUUAAUAAAAUUUUAGUAAAGAAAACGUAUUGAAUCUUGAAAUAAUUAUUUGAAAUUACAUAAUCAUGACCGGACCGGACGAGAUUAACAUACAUAGAUAAAAAAAAAAAUUAAAUAUAUAUAUAUAUAUAUAUAUAUAUAGAUAAUAAAAAAAAAUGACCGGGCGACGACCAAGAGUGCCUGGCCUUUAGAUCCGUCCCGCAUUUGAGUUUUUAAGAUUUUUUCACGACUAGAGAAUUCCCAUUGAUUUCCUCUUAGGGUGCGAUCUCUUUGAUUGUAAAUUUAUCAUGGGAAAUGGAAGGAUAAACAAAAUUUAACCCUUUAAAUUCUUUCUUUCUUUUUCCACAUUUUCUACUUGAUCCCUACUCAUUUACACUACAAAUGAGAGAUAAUAUUAUCACACCAUUUUUGGAGGGAUAAUAUUAUCCCUCUUUUGUAGUGUAAAUGAGGAUUGAGUAAGGGUCAAGUAGGAAAUGUGGGAAAAGAAAUGAAGGAUUUAAAUGGUGAAAUUUUGUUUAGCCCUCAUUUUCUCAUGAUAAAUUUACAACCAAAGAGAACGCACCCUUACUAUUUUAAUCAAUGUAUUAAUUGAUUAAUGCCGGCUUUAACGAUUGAGAAGUAACAUGCAUUUGACUGCUGCUUACUGGAAUUUGAAUCCAGCUACUUUGUUUUGUUUGCAAGUGCUACUUCGAAUUGAUUAGUCUUUCAUGUAGUUGGACUUUUGUUCUUUCAUGUAGUUGGACUUUUGUUAUACAGCAGACAAAUUAACGCGACUCCAUUUGAGAAGGCUGCGUGUGAUAAUAUAGACAGCAACGUUUUCAGCUGCAGUUUUUCUUUCGUCUUCAUUCUACACUCCUGUAUGUAUGUGCAUGUCAAUAAUAUCAUAUCUCAACUCUUGUUUGCUGCUUGUAAGUUAAUCAAAGACCAUGCGUCAAUCAAAAUAUAACAAGCUUAAUUACUUAGACUGGAGGCCUAUAUAUACUAAUGUAGUGCAAGAAAACGCACAAAAUGUAGCCCUUAUAAGUUUCCACCAACCAACCUUCCAACUUUCAGUUUUCUUGCCAAUGAGUAGCUCUUAGUAUUAAUAAAUACAUGCAUAUAUACAUAUGUGUUAUGUUAAACAUUGUUAAAGCAUGCAUUUUUAUUAUCAAUGAUGUAGUUUCUAUUUACAUAGUCUUUUCUUUGUGGUUGUUAUUACAUGCAUCUUUUGUUUGUUUUCAUUCAAGUUUUACUUUUGCGCAAAUUAAGAUGAUGAUUUUAUUUUAAUAUAUUGGUAUUUCUUUCUAUGUAUUACCUGCAGUUUUGUUUGCUUCAAGUAUUAUUCUCAACUAAAAGUCAUGAUUUUAUUUUAAAAUAUUUGUUUACAUCAUAUUGGCACAUUAUUUACAGUUAAUUGCCAAAUAACACAUGGCUUUUCUACUAAUUUUGCAAUUUUAAAAGCGAUCUUUGAGACCUUUCAAUAAGGACUUAAGAUUUCGACUUGUAGCAAAUUCAUUACUCCUAGUUUUCCCAACAAACAAAAGGUUGAUGUGGCACAAGAAUUUCGUUUUUUGAUGACGUGGAAAGUUUUUUCUACCUCAUGAUAAAUGAUGUCAUUUUGUUCAUAAACACAAAAAUAAAUAAAACUAAAAAUAAAAAUUUAUAUUUGUUUCUUUCUCUCUACACCUAAAAGUUGUACUCCUUUGAAUCCAUAAAAUCAUCGUUUAACGCCUGUUAACAUCUACAAGUGGUCUUUGGCUUUGCGAUCGCCACAUCGAAAGGGACGGUAAAUGGGGAUAUCAAUCCAAUUUGAAACCAAUAGGUUUUUCCAGAUAGUCCUAAAAGAGGAGGGUUGAAGGCCAAAAUUUUCUAGCUUGAAAAUAAUUCAGUCAGAUUUGUCCGCAAUUACCCGACAUUCGCAACUCAGAAUUCAUGUAGGUUGGCCCUAGGGAUGUCAUCCGGUUCGAAACCGAGGAAAUGGCCCAAUAAUAGAAUGAGUUAGGCUUGAUUGACAUCCCUAAUGGUAAAUCUAUUGCUUAAUUAGCCAAAACUUUUUAAUGUACAUCAGCUGGAAGUGGCUGUUUUGGCCAUGAAUGGUAGCGACCUAAAGGGCAAAGCGUGGCUGUUUUGGCCAUGAAUGGUAGCGACCUAAAGGGCAAAGCCACCACCUUACCGAGCAACAAUCGAUCAUUGUAUGGUGAUCACUAUGGAUGUCAGCUUGUCGAAGUGGCAAAAACUUAUGUUACACAUUCGCGGAAUUACUUCGUUUUUGUUUCACAUGAUUUUUUUGAUUGUUGGAAAAAUUGGGAGCGACGAUUUUGCUAUAAAUACAAAAUUUUAGGUCCUUAUGAAACAUAUCAAAGAUUGUGUCAAAAUUGCAAAUCUGUUGAAAAGUUGGCAUAAUUUGUCAAUUAACCUUUGUAUUUAUUCAAACAUAAGUUGAAAUUAUAGACGAAUAUAGUAGGUUUUGUAAAGUGUAACUUUUUAUGUCACAAUAUUAUGAACAUAUAGUUCUUUUAUUGUAAAAUUGUUAUAAUGUCAUAGCACAUUGUAUCUUUACUAAUGUAAUUUUAUGAUAAAUAGUUGAUCUCUUGUAUAUUAACUCCAUCAUGACUACUAUACAUUAUGCAUGGAGAUGAUUGAUCAACACAAUGUCUAUGUCAAAUAUGUGUUGAACAUCCAAACUCUAAAAUAUUGUAUAGAUUCAUUGUACUUUAACUCCUUACCGCUAGUAAAAAAGCAUGAUGUAUAUUUUCUCAAGUCAAGCUCAUUUAGUGAAACUCAUUAACUAAAUAAGUAGCUCAAGCUUGAUAUCACUUGAUUAACUAACUCGUGAGCAAGUUCAUUAUUCUAAUUAGAUGGGAAAAAAUUAUUUACUUGGUAUGGCUUGUUUACUUGUAUUUUAAUUUGUAAUAAUAAUAAAUUCUAGUAUGUUUCUUGAUUCUAAUUAAAUGAUAAAUUCAAGUAAGAAUAUUAUAUAUCUUUUCUAGGUUAUUCAUAUUUGAAUUUAAAUUUAACUUUAGAAAGCUUGUUUAGGCUUAAUUUAUCUUGUCUCAAAGUGUCCGGUAAAUAAAGCUCGACUUGAUAAUAAAAUAUAAAGAAUCCAUAGCUUUUUUGCAUUAAAUAAGUGAGCCAUUUUUCUAAAAAUUGAUACAACAUAACUACAAAAGAGAGAAAAUUUUAGCUUCUGAAUGAGAAAUUUAGGAUGACAAUAGAGAUUAAUUCCAAAAAUUUGACAUAGGGCUUUGUGAGAUGGCAUACACAAUAUCUUUUUACAGAUUUCAUAACUUUCUCUUAAACAACAAAUAAUCAAGCGAGCAAUAAUCUUCAUACUCACCUCAUUCACCAUUAGGAUCCUCUUGGAAUAUAACUAUUUGAUGGUUUCAAACCCUUCAAGUUGUGGAACUAGCAAUACAACAUGUUGAUAAUAGCAACGCUAUUCAAUGUUCCACUCUAGUUAUUUUCCACAAAAGUGUAACUUGUACAUGAUACCCAAUUAGCAUGCCUCAUAUUAAAAUUUGAUUAGUAUAUUUGAGAUCUUUAUAAUUCAGAGGUAUAUGUAUUUUCUAAUCAGAUAUGGAUGCCUAUCUCUAAAAGUUUGAAUAGGUUUUAGGCAAGCAAGCAAUAAUAUUCACUCACCUCAUUUACAUAUCAUAAAUCUCCCAAACAUUAGGAUCCUCAGUAUAUAACUCUCUAUUGGUUUCAUAACGUUAAAAAGUUCUGGAAUUAGCAACAUAAUAUGAUGAUUACUACUACUUUAUUCGAAGUUCUAUUCCUCUGCUUCAUACAAAGGGGGAACUUGCCGAUUAGCAUGUCUCCAAUACAUUAUAAUUUGGAGUUAUAGAAACUAUUAUUUAACCAGAUAUGGCUGCAUAUGUCAAAAAACUUGAAUGAGUGUCACGUUAUGUGUACAAUGCUCCCCUUCUCUUUCAACUUUUGACAUUAGAUGCUUCACAAUCAACUCCAGUAAUUUUCUUAUGGCAACAAAUGCAUAAAAUGACCUUAUCUUUAUUGAAACUUCCAGGGAACCUUGAAUAAGUUUGUUCUUCAACUAUUUAGUUGAACUAGUUGUAGUCAUGCUAAAAUUUCUUAUGAAAUAGGUGAUACAAUAAUGUCAAACCAUUGAUGUAAGGUUUUUAGGGUAGCAUUAUUGGUUUUAUCUUUUUCAAUCACAAUGCCUCAUUGUGAUCUAUUGAGGCAUAGCAAAUACAUGAGAAUAUUAUCGUAAUAAACAAUUAUCUUGAAUAGGACUUUCAUUUUUAGAAUGAAUGGCUCACCAAGCCUUUGACAUAGGUUUGCUCCUUUUUUGAAGCCAUUUAGCCUUCAUCCCCCGAUUUAAUUUGAAUACUAUAAUUUAAAAAUAAUUUUUGGAAAUGUUUUGGCUCCCACGAGCAAGUCCACUAUCUUUAACACUAAUAAGUUGAAAUCGCCUAUUCUAAUACUUGAUGACAGUUCAUUUAACACUAAUAAGUAAGUACAACUUAAUAACCUAACCAUUUCUGAUGCGACAUUUGUGUAAGAAGUCUAUGUUUAUUGUUUAAGCUCUUCAUGUUAACUUGGACCCUUUCAGUAUUGACGUUUCUUUGGUACAAUGACCUUCGGGAACAAAUUGAUCUUGUGUUUGCUAUGGAAAAGUCCAUGAAGUAACUUUUUAGGAGUUAUGGUAUGACCCCCAAUUUAUAGAAAUAUGAGAGGCAAAUGUUGAUGAGUUAUUCAUAAUAAAAUCUCAAAUCUAAUAAGCACAACCGAAGCUAGUUACAUAAUCUCAAUUUGAGUCUUUCACUUUGGAAACACUCAAAAUCCUCGGUGACACUAGACCAUCAUCAUGCGUCCCGCCACUCAUUGCAUGGGUUCGUUGUUGAAAAAGAAAUGUGGUGUUAUGCAUUUACUUCAAUUAUAACAAAUAAGCAAUAAUAAUGUCAUAUCAUAGGUAUCAUACGGCUCGGAGACUAGGAUCAUAUCAUGAGCUUGUAAACUCAUGUUUAGCUUGUAUAGUUGUAUGAUAAAUUUAAUUUUCACAAUAUAAAGAAUUGUCAUCUCGACUUGCUUGAUUUAACUCAAAAUUGCAAGUAAAUAGUAGAAUUUGGUGUAGGAUAGAGUUCUUGGGUCAAAAUUUUCUAUUUAAGCUUAGGUCAUUGGGGUUAGGAUGUACUAUCUCAGUUCAAUCGUAAUUUGUGCAUGAAUAAAAAUAUAACAUAAUCGAAAAUUGAUUCUUUAAAAGCAAUUAUAACAAUAUUUUUUAUACAAUGAAGAGAGAUUAAGAUAAAUGAAGAACGAUUAGCAGUCAAGUUUUCAAUUGAAUGACAAUGAAAACGUAGAGAAAGCAUAGGACCCUCAUUCCGUUUCCUCCUCCUCUAGUACACUUGUAGCUCCACAUAAGCCUUAUUUUCCGCCCUAGCAUAAGUUCUUCGCGGUUAAGUUGGAAUCUUUUACACUUUGAAUGCCAUCAACAAUAAAUAGCAAUUAAUUAGACCAUAGACAUGUGUGCCGUCAUAAGAUGUAUGAAGAGCUUAUAAGUUGUCAAAGUGAUUGGAUAUUCAAGCUUAUAAGUUAGAAAGAGAUAAUCGUAGUUAGAGAGAGAAAAUUUAUGGGAAAUGAAAUUGAAAGGCUAUGUGUUGAAAAUAACAAACCAUAGUAAAGUUACAGUUGUAAAUUGAUUGUUUCUUAUAAGAUCAUGAAAAAAUAUGGUGGAAUUGUGAAAAUUAGAUGAUCAUUUUUAACAAAGGUAUUGUUGUAAUCCGGUAAAAUCCAUGAAGAAUUUAAAAAGCGGUGAACUUAAUCCCAUGAACAAUACUCCUUCCAUCAAAAGGGCGAUUUUGCCAAACACUCUUAAAUAGCUUAUAAGUUGUUUUAAGCAGCUUAUGAGCUCAGCCAAACACCCUUUUUAGUUGUGCCUUUCUUGAGCUAUUCUUCUCAAUUUUCACGUACCCCUUCUCGGGCACCUUUGAUCUUUUGUGACCAACUCGAGUAUGUGGCUUGGUCCAAGUUACGUAGUUCCAACGCCGAAAAGUCAUUGUGUUCCUGCCGUCGCCUUUGCUUGCUUCAUGAAUCUCACCAACACAUUAUCCUUCUCAUCCAACUUUCCGAACACUUCAACUCACCAACACCUUUGCUUGGUCCUCUCCUAUUCCUAAGGAGACCUUGGCGAUUCCAUUUAACACUACCAUGUCUUUCUCCUCCUCUAACCCUAUUAUGGGUCUUGGGGACAGCUUCCCUUCCCCCAGUGAGGGCAGCGGAGGAACGGAUGCAGUGUUGGUGGCAUUAGAAAGAGUUGGCAGCGGUUUUGGUGAAGAAGCAAGAAAGAUUGGAUGAGAAAUUAGAGAGAGAGAUAGUGAAGUCGCGCGGUUAGGGUUCAAGUCUAAACCUUGACAUUUUUGGGUGAGUCGUAUAUAUAUAAUUCAAUGGCACCGCCAUAUCCACCAUCACAGCCGCCAUACAGAAAAACUGCAUGCCAUGGGGUGGUGCCGUGGUGGUGGUGGCGGAAUCCUCAAAAACCGCCACCACCAUGGUGGAAACUUAACGACAUUGAUGUAUAUUUUCAACUUGGAAAACUAAAUAAAUGAAUUAUGCAUUAGAAAUAUAUACUAGAGUGAGGUUGGUAAUUUUAUACUAAAAGGAAUCCCUUUGACAUUUAUGAAAGGUGUCAUCAGAUCUCUCUAGGAUAAAAACCGAGGGUGUAUAGAGAAAAGAUCUUAUUAGCUCUUUCUAACUUCUUAACUUUAAGGUUAUAGAAUGUUAUAAUAAUAGAAUACACAAAUGAUCACAAGUUGUUAACUAAUAAAGCAUCACAAUCAAAAGCAUCUUUCAUCUAUGUUCUUUACGGGAGGGGACCCCAGUUGAACCACUUGAAAGAUCUUUUUAAGAUAAAUUCAUUAAUAUAGUUGGAUGAGAAAUGUAGAGAACAAAAAACAUAGUAUAUGAUAUUUUGUCCAAAAAAAAGAGAUAUAUUCAUAGAAAUUGUAGAGUGAGAUUACAAACCUUAACCUCCCUCUCUCUUUAUCUUGAACACGACAAGCUAGCGACAUCAGCAGCAAAGACAGUUUAUCUACUUAGGUUGAUGUGAUACAGUUUAUCUUUAUGCCCCUUUUGAAUCUUUGAAAUGUAUAAUUUUACAGGCUGAAGCUGAACAGAUGCUUUUAAAUGAUUUGAGAAUCCGUUAUACUUAUUCUACAAGGAUGAUUUGGGCAAAAUAAAACAAUAGAAAAAGAAAAGGAAACUGAUGUAUUGUGUAUUUACCAGAAGGGGGAAUGCACGUCAAUAUUCCUCUGGAGGGGCGUUAAAUGUUGACAUUCGUGGAGAUUGUACAAAUCAGGUCCUGUCCUAUUCUUGGAGGUUUAGAUUGAAGACCUUUCCUCAGUUAGUAGACUUGCUAGUAGAUUAAUCUUCUAUACCUAGAGCUAUAUAGGUAGGCUAAACAAUGUAUUAAUUUGGUGAGAAUUUCUGCACUGGAAGUUAACUAAAAUAGUGAAUAGUUCACUUCCAAUGAAGGUGUCAAACCAGUUUACAUGGUGAUCAAAUUUCUAGCAUGAUUUAAUUUUAAGAUUUUUGCAGGGCCCAUCUAUGCUAUAGUUGCACCUAUAUAUGUAUGAUGUAUCUAUACAGAAGUUCGCAUUUAGCGACUAUAGGCCAGAAGAUAAGAACAAGUGGCAAGACAUGCCCCAGUUGUGGUAGCUUUUCUUUGUUUUUUUAUCCCUCCACUUGGUUACAUCUUACAAUCCGUUACUGAUGAUUGUGAUGUAUGAAAAAUUCUAAUGUGGAGUCUCUUGCUAUAUAGAUUGGAAUUGGUGAUUAUCUAUUUAAGCAAUUUUUAUCACCAUAUCUUGACUCAUACCUCAAAAUAUUUGAAGCUAAUAUAAUAUUAUAAUGAGAUUUUUGCUGCUGAUAUGCUUGUGUUAAAGAUGUAUAAUAUCCUCUAGAGACUGGUGCUAGCUAGCUAGCACAUGUGCGUGCAUUAUCUUCCUUUUUAUAUUUAUCAUUCACUUCAAACUAUCUAAAAUGUUUAUUGUAUGAUUUACAAAACUUCAUUACUUUGUAUGAUGAAAGAUUUCCUACUUGAAAAGUCUUAUGCUUGAGUCGGCAAGAAUGUCUGGAUAUUUACCUCGAGAUUAUGCUUUAUUUUUUCAGCCAUUUGCAGUUGUUAUCUUUUAUCAUUCAUGCUAGGCCCAUGGACUUGUGUCUUUUAGUACGUGUCUUCUUUUAUUUGUGAGUGAUAUUCUGACUUAACUGAACUAGAAUUGCUAUCCAGCUUGAGUGAGAUCCUGCAACGAUAUCAUAGUCGGACUGAGACAGAUGCAGGUCCCUCAAGUCAAAGUUGUGAGACACAGGUAAGCGGAUCUGUUUAUGAAAUUAAAGUGGGUUUAAUAAGGCCUCUGUGCAGGUUUGUUUUUAGUAAAAGCCAAAACAUGUCUGAAGGUAUAUAUUCAAGUAUUUAUUCAUCUUACCAUAAUUUGUGGGACAGUUUUUAUAUAAAUAUAAUUUGUGGGACAGUUUUUAUAUAAAUAUAAAUUUGAAAGCAAAUAUAAUAAUAUAUGUAUGGAUGUUUACAUGCGUGUCAAUGUAAGAUGUAGAUGCAAAAUAUAGAUUAUAGUAUUUAACAUAAAUAAAUUUUAAAAUCAAUAGUUUUAUCAUGGACCAUGCAUGCAUGUAGUGAUUUGAUUGGAAGUUAAUUUGAAAUUGGUCUAUAUUUUAGCCUUAGUUGAACAAAAAUUCCAUAAUUUCAUUUGCCAAUAGAUUUCUUUAACACCAAUGUGUGAUUAUGCUUAUGCAUGUUCCAUACUAAUUACUACAUUCUCUUCAUACAAAAUUGUAUAUGUUUAUAGUAAAACGUUGUAUCCAAGUGUAUAACAUAAUAAAUGAAUUUACAUUUUCAAAGAUUUGUGCGUAAAUGUACAUAAAAACUACAUAUAAAUGUAAAGAGCAUAGGGUUAAUAGUAGUUAUGACCUCAACUUUAAUUUAUCCUUUAAUAUCCUGAACUUUGCAAUAUGUUUAAUUUUGUUCUGGGCCGUCGGAUAUCUGACUAGCUCACCCAUAAAUGCAAGAAAAAAANAAGAUAUGAUACGAUUAACACGUUUUACAGAUGAGCCUAGUUUGAUAUCCGACGACUGAUAUUUUUGCUGGGAGGCAAAAUUAAACAAAUUUGCAAAGUUCAGGAUAUUUAAAAAAGGGAUUAUAGCAAAAAAAUACACGAACUUUGAUAAAAGUUGCAAUUUUCACCUGAACUUUCAAAUUAGCCAAAAUAUACCUGAACUUAUAUUUUUUGUUGUAAAUUUCACCUGAACUUGCAAUGAUUGAACUCCGUCGAGGUGAAAUUUACAACAAAAAAUAUAAGUUCAGGUAUAUUUUGUCUAAUUUGAAAGUUCAGGUGAAAAUUGCAACUUUUAUCAAAGUUCGUGUAUUUUUUGGCUAUAAUCCCUUUAAAAAAUAAGUUAAAGUUGGGGUCAUAAUUAACUACUGUUAACCCUAUAACAUAUGCUUAGUUGUUUGAUAUAUUUUUUGUAAGUUCAUAAGCAUUACAUUAUUUAUGAUUGUAAUCAUUAUUUUUAUGAAGAUUGUAUGUAGGGGUGGUUUUUUCUAGCUUGUACAUUUUUAGACAUAUAUAUCUAUAGUCCAAAUUGUGUGACUUAUUUAGCAGACACUCGGUUUGAGUUAUUUUUCAAAUUUUGCUUCUCAACUAUUUUUCCUAUAAUUUAGCACUAGUCUCUAGAACAGCACCUAGUAAGAAUAUUUGUGAUACUUCAAAUAUUUGAGUAUCCAUAUAAUUAUAAAGAAAAUGGGUUUUAGAUAGUGAUUGAAUCAUAACUGAAAACAGGGAUCAUAGUCCUAAAUUAAUUGUAUGUGUAUAUUAUGAAGGUCAUUGGUUGUGUUUCCAUGUCAGGCUAAAUAUUCGCGUUUCCUGACAUGUGAGGAGCUCCUACAAGUAGUAGAAAGGCAGCCACUUCAUCCCUCCCUCUCCCUCCCCUUACACUUUACUUUGUUAAGUUGGCAGUCAUGACUACAACAGCUCUUUCUAUUUAAUUCUGCAGGGAGCUUGAGGAGCCAUCCGCCGACGACCUCAGUGUCGCCGACUUUAUACAUCUUGAGAAACAAUUUGAGACUGCACUAAUACAGGCCAGAGCAACUAAGGUAACUGAACUUUCAUUCUUAAUAUGAAGUGAUAAUGAGUUAUGCUGCUUACCAGCCAACUGUUUUGUCGUAUCGGCAUGCCUUUGUGUUAAAAGUUAUGCCCAUUUGCAGUCCAAGCAGAUGAUUCCGUUGAUUCUCAAACCUAGGAAGGAGCUCAGGCAAAAUUAUACUACAAGAUGAGAAAUGCUUGUUUGGUCUUCUAAUAAAAAAUAAAAAUAUAUAUAUGCACUAGGAAGGAGCUUGUGUAUAUAUAUAUAUCUCCUGACUGACCACAUAUUAUCAAAUGCAUAAUCUGGAUUGAGUUGAGCGACCUAUUAUACGUACAUAUGUAUCAAUUUUACAAUUUUCUUAUGCUUAACUUCCAUUAAUAGUUGGUAGAUUGAUUCUUAUUUGAUUGCCGAGUUUGUUGCUUAUGCAGACACAAUUGCUUCUGAAGUCUAUAUCAAGCCUCGAGGGAAAGGUAAACAUUUGCAUCUUGUAUUUUUGGUGAAGACUGCUAAGCCAUGAACCAUGCAAAUGAGUUAUAUAUAUUCACAACGGGUUUAAACAUAAGGAGAGGAAUUAAAGAGAUGCUGUGUAUUACAAAAGUGGAAAAGUUAAGGAGUCACCUUAUUUAUACCUUGAUUUUGAACAGGAAAAGCUGUUAGAGGAAGAGAAGAUGUUGUUGAAGGGGAAGGUAUAUUUGUAGACUUGGAUAUACAAUACAACUGAAGUAAUGAUGUUUAGUUAGUAACUCACUGAUUAAGAACAGAUUGGUGGGAGCAAGACGAAAAUACCGGUGAUCGAUCUCAACGCCCUUCCUUCCGAGGAGUGAAUGGCUGAAUACUAGCUCAAGCUCUCAGAAUAAUAAGUGGCAAGAAACACAUUCACAGCUCAGUUUUUACAUUCUGAAAGCCCGAGCAAAUCACACAUUCUCUCACCUUCUUGACGAAACCGGAUGCAUAUAUAUAUUGGUGGUUCAGCAUGGAAAUAAACAAGAAGAAAGCAACAUCCAUGGCAAAAAGAAAAGAGAUGAGACGUGGCGGAAUGUGAUUGGGGAGAAUCCACCUUUCAUCAAAGACUAAUGCGUCUCCACUUGUAUUUGUAUCAUAUUCAUAUAUAUACGCUCAAGAGAGAUGCUGCGAUUUAUUUAAAUCUUAAUUAAUACCUGAAUAAAUACUCGUAUAGACAGUCGACGGUAGGGAAAGUAGAAGAAAGACGUGGUGGAAUGUGAGUGCUACAAUAUUAAUUAGGCUGCCCACUUUGUUUUUUAACAACAUAACUUUAAUGGAAUCGCAUCUACGUCGACGAUACGUUCACUUCUCUGCACCCAUAGCUUAAUCGAAUAGAUUAUAGAGCCAAAUGUGCCACGUCUACACGUCGUCUCCUCCCAAUAAUUCAUAUGCAUGUAAAAUAAUUUAAAUAUUGCCUUACUCCUCAAAUCUGAAUAAGAAUAUUAAUGUAUAUGAAAAGAAGGAAAAGCAUAAUCAUUUCAUGAUGUGAUUGGCCAGAAUUCCUGAUCAACUUAUGUAUACUUUCAUUUCAUUUCAUAAUCAUAUAACAAUGUUAAUUACCAUGGCAUGCAUAUUAGUAAGCUUGCCUCCUAUACAUAAAUUUAAUAACAAAACUUUGAAUUUGAAUCCGAAUUGCAUAUUGAUGGAUCAAUCUUAAAAUUCAUGUACAAUUUCGUAUAUGACUUUACUUAUAUAGUUCGUAUACUUACAUGUUAAUAAUCUUAUAAAUUUCUGCCACCACCUCUUAUUUUUGAAAUUAAUUAUUUACCCUAAAUUAUACAGUAAUUUAUCUGACAUCCUGCCAUUUUGAAAGCAACGAUUCAAUCGUAGAGAUCAUAUGCUUUAUUUAUUGUCCGCUUUGAAUUUUGGAGCAUCGAAAUGACUAAUUAUUUUCAAGUCGUCUAUAUCAAUAAUAUAUAUAUUAUUCACUCAUUUAUAUAAAAAAAUUCAAUAAUAGGUUGAGUAUAAAUUAAAUAUUUUGAAAAUCGGGGUGUGUGCAUUACUUGAGUUGCUGCACCACUUGUAGAGUUGUAGUAGCAAAACCUGUUUAUGGCUCCAAUUCCGACGAUAUAAAUAUAUAUAUAUAUAUAUAUAUAUAUAUAUAUUUAUUUUAUAUUAUUUAUGUAUUUUAAUGUUUGUAUUAUAUUUUACUUCAAUAAAAUUUAUAUAAUUACAUGAAUAAAGUAAUUUUUUUAAAUAAUAAAAUAUAAUUAUGAUGAAACGAUUUAAGAUUCAAAUGCACAUAUUAUUGAAAAGCAAAUUGGUACAACACACAACUAAAAUUGAAAAUAUAAAUAAAAAUAAUAAUAAGUAAACGGUUGUUAAGUGGACGUUAGGUCUAAGGGUGUAAUUGUUCAAAAUUAAUUACGAUAGGGGUUUAUUUGAUACCCCUUUGCCAUAGAGUCGGCAAUGUAAUAAGGGUUUUCACGUUAAGGGCUUAUUUGAUACUUAACCCUUUUAUAAAAAAUGAAACUCUUAUUUCACUUUAAUCUAUAAUUUAUAAUCUAUAAUAUAUUAAGGACAAUUUUGUAAAUUAUGCUCCUAUAUUCCUCCCUAAAGCUUCCCUAUUUAGAGAAAAAUUAAAGUCAUAAGAGCACUCCCAGCAGAUCACCUAAAUGCAUCACUAACUCUAAAUUUAGGUCAAAACAAUUGAAAAUGAGAUAAAAAAAAUGCAUCCAGUAAAUCCCCUAAAUUAUGCUCCUAUAUUCCUCCCUAAAGCUUUUCUAUUUAAUUUUAGGAUCUCGAUUUUAUAAAUGCAUACACCAGAUCUUCUAUUUUCUACAUAAAAACAAUAAUUAUGUGUGGGCCCUACUAAUUAUAAGCUUAAAAUAAGUUUAGGGUGGGUGUAAAUUUAAGAUUGAAUUUAGGUAGGUGUAAAAUUUUUUGUGGGCCCAUCCAAGUUGGGGGAUCUGCUGGAUGCAUUUUUAAUCUCAUUUUCAAUUGUUUUAGCCUAAAUUUAGAAUUAGGUGCUCUAAGUUAUGCAAAACUCAAAUUAAUACACUAACAAAAUCAACCGUCAAUAUCGUGUAUUAUGUAAAAAAAAGUUGCUCAUUAAUAGCCCAAAUAACUAACAUUAUUUUUUCUAGGGAUCACCACUAAUACUUCAUUACAUACUUCCAUGUAAAUAUAUUUAAAAGGUCAAAAUUGUUAAAUGUAAAAUGGGUAAAUUUUUGAUAGAUUUAUCAGGUGGUUUGAAAUAUUACAUGAGUACUUCCUAUUGAAAUUUAAAAAUUAAAAACCCAGACAAGUGCAAGUGAAGCACACCACCUAUUCAUCAAAAUGCAGCAGAGACGCACACAAGUGCAAGUGACGCCGGAAGAGAGGGCCAACCCCACACCAUCCCGCCAGCAGCAAGAUCCCUAAAAUAACCAACUGUUUGAUUAAAGUCCCAAUAGCAACCAUUGCGAAAUCUAAAAUAACUGAGCCACAUAGCACCAAAGAUCCAAAGGACCAGACGCCCAACAUAAUAACCAAAUAUUUGUCUUAUUGAAAUUAGUCUAGGGCUCGAUGCUACCGAUCACAAGAAGAGAGAAGAAAAUUCAGUAUUCCUUAAUAAUUCGUUUAGAUUCAUCCGUGAGCCCACGGACAUUCCGAACGAGCACAUUUAUCAGAUUAUACAUUAUGUUUUUAAAUGAUUUUUAUAAAAAAAUAAUUAAUUAAAAAAUAGUAAAAAAAAAAAAUUAAUUAUUUAAAGGGCUGUGCAUUGCACGCGCCCUUCAAAAAUGCCGUCCGCACUUGGUGCGGAGAAGAGAAGCUGGCGCGGUACAAAGAUAAAUCUUUUUUUAGAUAUGGAAAUUGAUUAAAAAUUAAAAAAAAUGAAUGAAAAUUGAGGAAAAUCAGAAUAGGGUGAUAUGAAUGAGAAUUGAGAAAAAUAUACGAUGCCACGUAGGAUAAGAUUUGUUUUGCUAUAAUAUAUAGAUGGGGUUGAUUCUAAUCUUUUGAUUUAUUUAUUUCAAGGUCGCAAUAAAUGUGAAUUUCUGACAUCCGAGAAGUUGGGGUUCUGCAUUUACAUGCUUAUUGAAGGUUAGGUAUAGCUACUAACUACAAUCAAUGAGUUGAGUAUAUUAGGUGUAGCUACUACUAAGAUGUUGACACGUUGCAAAUGAGAAAAACCUAGCAUGGACUUUACCGAAAUUGUUAUACAGAAAUCCAUUAUCUGUCUCCUAGGGCACGAAUGUAGACGCCUACUAAUGUUUAUACCCAAACAACACACAUAUCAACUACAGCCAUCCUAUAUUCAUAAAAAAUUCGAAAAAAAUGGUGCAGUUCUAUGGAGUGAUUCAGUUAAUAUGCACGUUUCGUCCAUCUAGAUUAGACUUUAAGCUAAAUUAUUAUUGGCAUCUAAAAAUUAAUGACUUAGAUUCUGGUAUUUUUAUUUUGUUAAUAUAUUUUUCUUAGGCUUUUGCUGUAUCCGGUGAAACCUGGGGUAUUGUGAAGAAUAUUGACUCUUAAUUUGUAAGUACAAUAAUAGUUAAUGACUUAGAUUAUUGUGUUUCGAUUUUUUAUUUUUGGUUUUGCAUAAGUUUUCAAUGAACAAUUGGUGAUAAACAAAUUGUUAAACACACUAUUAAUCUCGUAAUUUUCUUCUCCUUAAUCUCCGUGUCGAAAAGAAACGUGUCAUAAAUAACGGGACAGAAGAAGUAUAUAUCAUGACUUUGAAUUUAUCAACCUAUUAUUAGCUAAUAAUUAAAAGUGAAAUUAAAUGAUAAAAAAUAAUUAUAUACCCUAAAUUGAUGGAAUAAACUCUAGUUAAUAAUCACAAAAUUAAAAUAAAACAUACAAAGUUAAAAUUAAAGAAAAAAUAUAUAAGAAAAUAAACAAAAUUAAAAAUAGAACAUAAAGUGGUACAUCAAGUUGGGGAUCUGUUUUCUCUAUUUCUAAAUUGGUGCGCAUUUCUCUUGUUUUCCUAUGGCUGUACUAGGGCUGUAAACGAGCCGAGCCGAAUACUAGCAGGCUCGAGCUCAGCUCGUUUAAAUAUUUGGGUGUUCGAGCUGGAUUCGAGCUUUUAUCUUGUUGGUCGAACUCCGUUCGUCACCCAUUUACCGAGCUCGGUUUGGAUGAUGCUCGAUAAUGUCAAACUUAAGUUCGAGCUCGACUCGUUAGAUAUUCGUAUAUAUGAUGUUCGAGCACGAAUUCGUUAUAAAUUUAAGAAAAGCUUUUAAAUUAAUAUGUUAUUAGAGCUCAAGCUCGAAUCGUUUAAGGUUCGUGCACUAAUUCGACUGAAGGUUUGUGAACAGGCUCACAAACAUGUUCACGAACAAUAGAAUCCGAACAUGUUCGCGAGCUCAACGAGUCGAGUUAUGUCAGGCUCGAGCUCGAAAUCAAGCUCGAGCUUUGCUCAUUUACUAUCGAAUUGAGCUCCGAAUUAACGAGCUUUUUUUCAAGCCGAAUCUUGAAUAGCUUGCGAGUAGCUCUGUUUAUUUACAGCCCUAGGUGGUACUGUGGUAGUGUUAGGUACGAAUGAAAAUUUAAACUGCUCUGUGAUAGUGUUAGGUAAGAGUGGAAAUUUAAAAUGCUCUAUUGCUUACGUUAUAUAUAAAAAAAUGUCAUCUUUUAUAAAUACAAGUUUCUUAUGCCGUAUUCUUUAAAUACUUCUAAUGUUGAUGGUUUUGCUUGGUUUUUUUGUGAAAGUCUUACACAUUGGACCGAUUUGACAGCUAUCAAUCAUAAAUGUGUAAGAAAAAUUUGAAAAAGAGAACGAUUUGACUGCCCGGGCGGCUAGAUGAUCUAGCCAUCCACCGGUCAGAUGAACUCUUGACUCAUAGCUGUCAUAUCGUAAAAUAGUUGAAAUUGAACAAAAAAUAAUUAAAAACUAAAAGAAAUUGAUCAUAAGACACCAAAAUUGGGAAAGAAGUAGCGUCCCGACGACGACGGUUCACAUGCUAGAAUCACCUCUAUACUGCAUAAUAUGGAUUGUCCCAAGUAGCGUCCCGAUCGUUCACAUGCUAGAAUCACCUGUCUACUGCAUAUAUAUAUAUAUAUAUAUGGACUAUUUUAAGAGCUAUACAAUUUGUAAAAUAGAUAAUAAUUAAUAUUCAACUAUUUUAAAUAUAAUAAAAAGUUUUAUGUUGGUUAUGUUUUGAUUGAUCGAGUAUAUAUUUAUUUAAAAUGUCUGCCAUAUUUUAUUCAUUAGUAUUUAUUAUUGUGACAGAGACAAGCCAUAUGUUAGUUAGUUAGUUAAAAUCGAAUUUAUUAUUAAGAUAGAGAUAAGACAUCUUAAAAUCAAGAAAAACUAAUUAUAAUGUGAAUGAAACGUGUUUUCCUUAGAAAAACUAAUUAAUGAAUAAAGAUUUAAUUCUAAAAAAAAGUACUCAUUCCAUUUACAAAAACUUGUGACAUUGUGAAUGACACGUGUUUUAAUAAAAUGUGAAUGAAAUUAUUAAAUGAGUAAGAUUCUAGUUUAAAUGUGAGUAGAAUCGUGUGAAACAUUUAUAAAUAGGAGCAACAAUUUUUUCGUGGAUGGAGAGAGGAGGGAGUAACUUUUGUACUCCUCCGUCCCACUCCAAUAGUUUAAAUUUUUGUUAUUGCAUUCAUUCAUUAAAAUAAGAUAUCUAUUUAUAAAUUUUUCAUGAUUAAAAGAGUAAGAAUAAUUCUUUAUUCUCAAUUUAAAUAGAAAUUCUUAUUUAAAUUUCAUAUAGGGAGAGAGGCCGUGACAAAUAAAAUUUAAGUGAUGUACGAUAAAAGUUGGAAAAAUGGGAGAAAGAAAUAUAUUGAGAGAGAAAUAUCUAGCUAGGUAGGGUAAUUAAUGUAAAUGCAAAAAGAGAGAUGAGAUGGGCAAAUGGCAAUGGAGUGAAUGGACGAUCUAAGUCCACGAUCAUCAUAUGCCUUCCUCUUGUAGUGUAUGUGUGACAACGACUUAUACAUAAAUGGUCAUUAAAUGCCAAAUUAUUUGCAUAGGUAUGGGUAAAAAAACCUUACCAAUUCAAGGACUGAUAAAGACCUCAACAAUAUACCACGUUUUUCAUAUCUCUCUUUUAAUUCUACUACUUUCUAUAAAAAGAAAUCAUAAUUUUAUAAACAAUCAAUUGAGAUGUAUACAAGUCACUACUGUUAAAUUAAGCAACGACAUGGAUCAUACCGGAAAUUAAUACUAAAAUAAGAACAAUUUUUAGCCUUUAGAUCUUCAAGAUUUAUGAUUGAUUCAUCAUUUUGUUAAAUGAAUUUAAGGUCAUGUGUUCGAAUCUCGUAGAAAGUGAAAAUUUUAAUUUCCGAAAUUCAAACACUUAUACAGUGAAUUCGGACGUGUUUUACAUAAAAUUCAGACGUUUUCGUUAGUUUGUAUUUUAUAUUUUAAGAGGGGUUUAUAGCUUAGCUCAAACCUAUAUACUAGCAUAUAGCAGUGAAGCUUUCAAUAGAAUAUACUAGUGUCUAAACUUAUUCGUUGACCGUGAGUUGAGGUUAUCUAUUUUUUAAGGUUUUAAAGGAUUUUUUUAAUGGUAAGAAGUGUAUACAUGUAUUUUUUUAAUUUAAUACUCAUUACGUCCAUAAAAAAUAAUUCUAGUAAGAAACGACACAAGUUUUAAUAAAAAAUUUAUUGUAUUAUGAAUGGAAAAAAUGUCUCACUUAAAAAUAGUAUUUAUAAUGAUAAUUAAUUAUAUUGUGAGUAGAAAAUAAGGCCCAUUAGGCACUAUGUGAUAGAUAUUUUUCAAAAAUAGAAAGAGAUUAAAUUUUUGUGGACAUUUCAAAAUGACAAAAAUGAACUAUUUUUGUGGACGAUGAGAGUAUUAAAUAAAAAAAUACAUACAACUAAACACAAAAUGAAUGUUAUUGAAUAGAAAAUGAAUAAAAUAAAUAACGGCAUUUUUACUAUAAUACUCCCAUCAUGGUGUGAAAAAAGGAAAGAGAAAAAAGAAAGUGGCAUUUUCCAUAAAAUACAUAUGAAUUGUCCAAUUUUUUAUAUAAAAAAUCACAUAUUGUGCGGUGGAUGAGUGAAGUAUGAGUCCCACUGUAGUAAAUUGUGUUAUGAGGUAAUGUUUAAAAAUGAAAGGCAACAUUUUGUACGGAAGGAAGGACUAAAAGAAAUAACACUAGCCUUAUAUAAAAGAAAUAACACUAACUAAAAUGGGGCACAAGACUCAAUUAUUUUACAAUACGUGCGGAUUGAUAUAAUUAAUUAAUCCUAAAUUGUUAAGGCUGCAGGGGGCGCUUCACAGCGGGGCAUAUCUGGGGGCGGAGGCAACAUCUUCUCAUUGGGGCCUUCCCCGUCCGUAACGAUGAACGCCAUCCUCAUUCCCCAACUGUGAUGACGCUCGAAAUGGCAGUGCAUCAACCACACUCCUGUGCGCGAGAUAAUAUUGCAACUUUAAUUACUUAAUUAGCUAUGAGACUUUUGCUUAACUUUAUAAAGGAAAAGACGAUGAAGCGCCGUCUGUUGGUAAGACGCUUCUCCUCCAACCAAUAGGUCGGGAGUUCGAGUCACCUUAACUUUAUAAAGGAAAAGGAGAUGGGAACUGAACCUGGAUUGUUAGCCUUAAAUCUGAUAGCGCUCCAUCCACUUCUUGGAACGGCAACCGUGUUCACCAACGGCGGGUCAAUGAGAUUAAAGUUUGGCGGAUCCGUGUUCGGGUGGAAGUUCCCGUAUCCAGAUCCGACAACGUAGAAGCUGUAUCCAUGUAAAUGCACGGGAUGAUCGAUUCCAUCGCCAGUCCCAUAGUUGGUGCCUUGAAGCACCAUCUCGACUUCCGAGUUGUAGUCCAACAUGUACACCGCCGUUCCGAAAUGGGCGGGCGCCACAUUCUCCGGCUUAUAACCUUGCGUGAAGUCGAAUAUUAUUGGUGUCAUCGCUGGGAAAUUGGGCGUGAAAACUCCUCUGAUCCCUUUGAAAUACGCCUCGAGAAUAUUUUGGGUUUUGGGCAACAACAUGGUCUCGUUGUUCAUGCUGGCCAGCAGCCUGUAGUCGUGCACGCAAGAAUUUGUGAGACAGUGCCACGUAUUGAUGGAGAGAGUGACGAACAUGUUGUGGGUGAUGUUCAUAGGAACUUCGAUGGGGUAGUUGUCGUCGGCGAGGCUUCUGAGCCUGUUGCUGAAAUGGGUGGACUUGGCCACCCCAUCGUCGAACUCAGGGAAAGAUGGAAGCAGCAGUGAUGAGGGCCGGGUGUAGUUACCGACGUACUCCACGAUUCCUGUGGUGGGGAUGUAAUUAUACCCCACGGGGCCGGCGUAUACUCUGGCGGCCAUGUAAUAACGGCUGGGCGGCUGGUUGGCUUCCAGAAGGAAAUCUAUGGUCUGGCCAGGGGCGAUCGCGAUGUGAUCGGUGUUCAGCGGCUUCGUGUAGGCGCCGGCCGUCCCCACCACCGUCACGUUGUGGUCCUUGAUUUUGAAGUACAUAAUGUAGUUCAUCAUUGCGUUAACCAUUCUGAUCAGGUACGUCUUGCCCGGCUCCACACUCAACUUCAAUGUAUCUGCAUUGCAUCAAACCAAAUUAAUUAGUAAAACUUAUACUGCCUCUGUCCCGGCCAAGACCAUACAUUUGCUUUUCGGCAUAGAAUUUAAGAAGUUGUAGAUUAUGUUUUAAGUGUUUAAUAAUAAAGUGAUAAAGUAUGAGGAAGAAUGUAAUAAAGUGAUAAAGUACAAGAGAGAAGAUAAUAAAGGAAUACUUAAUUAGUGUUAAUUAAGUGUUUAAAAUUCCUUAUUUUUGCCAAAUAUAGAAAUGUAUCACCUUCGUUGGGACGGUCCGAAAAAGAAUAUGUAGCAUCUUGGGCAGGAAUAAGGGAGUAUUUGACUCCUAUUUGUUUGGAUUUUACCUUGUUUUGAGCAGGGAUAGAGGUCUCCAGGUUGACCAUUCAUGAGGAAAGCAUCAGACAAUUUGGCACCGAUUCCUUGGGCUAUAAAAUCCUCGUAAACUUGUUGUAUAUCAUCAUUCCACCACUCUCCUGCAUGCAACAUUUAUUAAUUAUUCCGAAUCUAUAGAAUUCCAACACAAUUAAUUAAUAUUGGUCGAGAAUUUUAAUUAUACCUAGUAAGAUGGGAAGUUGAGCAUGAGGCUUUGGGAAAGGAUAAGUGUGUGUCUUGGGCGGUAGAAUGACGAUGGCGCCAUACACAGUAGCUCGAGUCCAAUCGAUGUGGGCGUGCCAAAACAAAGUGCCUUCUUCGUCGGAGAGCAGAACUCGUUGUCGAAAGCUUUUGCCGGGAGUAAUAGGACACUGCGUGACAGAGUCGACGCCAUCUGUCCAUGGAUAUCUCGGCAUUUUUACUCCAUGCCUGAAAUCGAUCGCCAUAUAUAUAUGCUUAUAUAUGAUGAUAUAUGACCAGUUUCAUGCAAAUGCUUUAAUUUGACGUACCAAUGGAUAGUAAUAUUUGCAUCGGCACGAUUAAUAACAUCGACUAUCACCAAUUCUCCCCUUCUUGCAUAUAUAGUUGGCCCUGGGAACUGCCCGUUUACCGUUAGCAUGCUUUUGGUGGUGCAUAGCCUGGUGUGUGAAGAUCUUCUCACCUGCAAACUUACACUUCCAAUUAGCUACCUUUUCUAUAAAUAAAAAACAAAAUCAUGGGGAACAUACUUCAAACUUAUGAUGAACUAAAGCAUGGACUGGAGCCAUAAUAAUACCAAGGUAGCACAGCAUGAAAACCUUAAGCUUCCGAUAAUAAAACAUUUUUUUAAGUGGUGUGUACCAUGAGGUAGGAGAAUUAAUUUCCUUUUUCUUCUCCGUAUUUAUAAUGUCGAUUCUACCUUUACAUCUCCUCUCAUUUAUUUCUGAAUCAAUGUACGUGAGUACUUAAUUCUUUCACGUGAUUAUUAGUAAUUUGGAAAUACUUGAUCCAACUACAAGAAGAGAUGGUUAAAAAUUUGAUCAAGUGCAUGCAGAAGAGCUAGACAGCUCAUUACAUGACUAUUCUAGUUGUAAUUAUAAAAGUUACUCCGUCCUCUCUCCAUCCACGAAAAAAUUGUCGCUUCUAUUUAUAAAUGUUUCACACGAUUCUAUUCAUAUUUAAACUAGAAUCUUACUCAUUUAUUAAUUUCAUUCACAUUUUAUUAAAACACGUGUCAUUCACAAUGUCACAAGUUUUUGUAAAUGGAAUGAUCGUACUUUUUUUUACAAUUAAAUCUUUAUUCAUUAAUUAGUUUUUCUAAGUAAAACACGUUUCAUUCACAUUAUAAUUAGUUUUUCUUGAUUUUAAUAUGUCUUAUCUCUAUCUUAAUGAUAAAUUCGAUUUUAACUAACAUAUGGCUUGUCUCUGUCACAAUAAUAAAUACUAAUGAAUAAAAUAUGGCAGAAUUCCUGAUACAUUUUAAAAUAAAUACUCCCUCCGUCCGCCAAGAUUAUGGCACAAUUACUAUAUCGGGCGUCCGCCAAGAUUAUGUCACUUUCCUUUUAUGGCAAUGGUCCCACCAUUUACUUUUAUAUUUUAUCUUUAUAAACACUCUUUAUUUACAAAAAAACCACCUUAAAUUCAAUCUCAACCACACAUCUCAUAAAGUGGUGGGACCCUUCCUCCACUACAUCAAAAUCAUCAUCAAUUUUAUUAAAUGUCAUGCCCAAACAAUUUGCCAUAAUUUUGGCGGACGGAGGGAGUAUAUACUCGAUCAAUCAAAACCUAACCAACAUAAAACAUUUUAUUAUAUUUAAAAGGGCAAAGGUGCAGAUUGCCCCCUAAACUACACCCCCUAUAGCUUUUAGACCCCUCAUACUCGGUCAUAGCGCGUUGACCUCCCUGAACUCCCGAAAGAAGGGUGCAAAUAACACCCUCCGCUAAACGGCGCUCAAACGCCGUCCGUUUAAUUUUUUUUUCUUUUAUUUCAAGCGUCAUCUUCUCUCUCUCAUCUGGUAGCCGUCGCGGCUGAGUCCGGCGAGGCCGCGCCCGGCCGUUGGCGUCGCUCCCUUCGUCUGCUCCUAUCUCCUCCUUCACCCCUCUCAAUUUCUCAAUUCCAGGUACACUCUACUUGUAAAACCGAGCUUUAAUCGAGCCCCAACCAUGCCCUUCUUUUCUUCCAGUUUCCGGCAUCCAUGGCUGCUCAUCCAUCUUUUUCUGAAAUUCUCCGGCACCUAAUUCAUCUCGGUCCGUUCUUCAUUUCCCCUGUAAAGGAAACCCAAAUCCCCACAAAUAAGACCUCCACAAAAAAAAAAAACUUACAUCUUCUCCAAAAUCAGAAUGUAUUCCUCCCUAAAUCUCCAAGAUCCAUAUCCAUCUCCCAAGGCAUAACACCACCUUCCUUAUCUGAAGUCUGCGCCAUCUCGCCACGCCGUUGACUACUCUCGUUCGUCUUCCCAUUCUCUAACGGAAAUCAGCCUCCAUUCGCCCUUUUCUCAAAAUCGGCGGGCAAUCGCCGCCUCCUCGCAGCCCCACCCUGACACCUUACCAGCGUCGCGCUCAAAUUCAAUCGGCCUCCCCUCUCCCUUUCUGCGAAAUCGUUGUUCCAUGCCUCAUGUUCUCUAAGAAUUCCGGCGAGGUUGUCGCCUGCGCACAAGAGUUCUUCUCUCCCAUCUCUGUUUCCAAACUCCACCGCAGCUCCCCGAAAUCUGGCGAGCUCGGCGCCGAUCUCCCUCGGUUGACCCUUUGGGGUGGGGCUCACUCCAAAAAAAAAUUAAAGUUAAACGGCGUUUGAGCCCUGUUUAGCGGAGGGUGUUAUUUGCACCCUUUUUUCGGGAGUUCAGGGAGGUCAACGCGCUUUGACCGAGUAUGGGGGGCUAAAAGCUAUUAGGAGUGUAGUUCAGGGGGCAAUCUGCACCUUUGCCCUAUUUAAAAUAGUUGAAUAUUAAUUAUUAUCUAUUUAACAAAUUGUAUAGCUCUUAAAAUAGUGCAUGUGAACGAUCGGGACGCUACUUCUUUCCCAAUUUUGGUGUCUUAUGAUCAAUUUCUUUUAGUUUUUAAUUAUUUUUUGUUCAAUUUCAACUAUUUUACGAUUUGACAGUUAUCAGUCAAGAGUUCAUCUGACGGGUGGAUGGCUAGAUCAUCUAGCCGCCCGGGCAGUCAGAUCGUUCUCUUUUUCAAAUUUUUCUUACACAUUUAUGAUUGAUAGCUGUCAAAUCGGUCAAAUUUGUAAGACUUUCACAAAAAAUCAAGCAAAACCAUCAACAUUAGACGUAUUUAAAGAAUACGACAUAAGAAACUUGUAUUUAUAAAAGAUGACAUUUUUUAUAUAUAACGUAAGCAAUAGAGCAUUUUAAAUUUCCACUCUUACCUGACACUACCACAGAGCAUUUUAAAUUUUCAUUCUUACCUAACACUACCACGGUACCACCUAGGGCUGUAAAUAAAUAGAGAUACUCGCAAGCUAUUCAACAUUCGGCUUGAAAAAAGCUCGUUCGGAGUACAAUUCAAUAGUAAACGAGCAAAGCUCGAGCUUGAUUUCGAGCUCGAGCCUGACAUUACUCGACUCGUUGAGCUCGCUAACAUAUUCGGAUUCGAUUGUUCGUGAACAUGUUUGCGAGCCUGUUCACAAACCUUCAGUCAAGCCUUCAAUCGAAUUAGUGCACGAGCCUCAAACAAUUCGAGCUUGAGCUCUAGUAACAUGUUAAUUUAAAAGCUUUUCUUAAAUUUAUAACGAAUUCGAGCUCGAACAUCAUAUAUACGAACAUCUAACGAGUCGAGCUCGAAUUUAAGUUCGACAUUAUGGAGCAUCAGCCGAAUUGAGCUCGAACCGAGCUCGGUAAAUAGGUGACGAACCGAGUUCGAUCAACAAGAUAAAAGCUCAAAUUGAGCUCGAGCCGAGCUCGAACACCCGAAUAUUUAAACGAGCCGAGCUCGAGCCUACUAGUAUUCGGCUCGACUCGGCUCGUUUAUACCACCCAUAGGAAAACAAGAGAAAUAAAGAGGUUGGUAGUAAUGGGGGAAACAGUCAAACAAAUGAGAGUGGUAUUUGGGGCCGGCUAAGGAAAACCGAACCAAAAGCAUUUUUCUCAUUUGCAACAUCUGAGUAGUAGCUACACCUAACGGAUAGAUAUAUUGUAGUUAAUAGCUAUACCUAACCUUCAAUAAGCAUGUAAAUGCGCACCAGUUUACAGAGCCCCAACUUCUCGUAUGUCAGAAAUUCACAUUUAAUGCGCAACAGUUUACAGAGCCCCAAACCCUAACUUCCCCUCCCCCUCCCCAGACCCCGUCUGCCCCUCCCCCGUCAAGCUUUCAACGGCGAAAUCGCCAGAUUUCGGAUUCACAACAGAGCUCGUCAGCCGGAACGGAGCUCGCCUGCUAUGCUACUCCUUCUGAACCGGAUGUCGCCGCCGAGAAACGAGCUAGCUAGAGUUUAGAUCUGAGGGUGUAUACAUGUGCAGAUGGGCUGCCAUAGCUUCAUACCUCGGAUUCAUAUACAUUGUAUUUUAUUUGCCACAUGAACUUAAGAUUUGCAUUGUAUUUUAUAUUUUACCUACAUUACAUUCUCUCAUCGUUUUUUAAAAAAAUUCAACUCUUUUUUCACUCAAAUAAAGAAAAAAAAAACUUUAUUUUUCCACUUUCUUAUUCUUACAAUUUAUUUUAUUUUAUAUGUUCUAAUUAUGUAACACUCUUAAUUAAUAAAUACAUGCUACAAUUUAUAAACAACCAAAUAUUUGCUAUCUAUGUGCUUCAAACAUAAAUAGACCUCCUAAAUCUACCAAACAUGUAUAUAAUUAAUCUAGGAUUUUGAGAAUCAUAUAUGAUUGUUAGAGUUGGAGACUCUAUUUGUUUUUGUUGUCAUUUAUAUGUUUGUGGUAUGUAUGACCAUCUGUGAUACCAGAUGUGUUACUACGACUGGGCAGAAUUUUCGAAGAAUAUCAUUUUCGGAUUUGGUCAAGGUUUAUGGAUAUACUUGGACUCCUUAGAGUGUUUGUUCCGUGUUGGUCACUCUUGUGAUAUAGUGAUCGACUUCUCAGAGUUUUAAAGAGUUGGUUCAAGCGAGGAUUCUCGAUUGCAACAGCUAUAUAAGUCGUCUUCAACCUUGAAGAAGGGUUGACUUUUUUUGUGCAUUCUGUCGAGCAGUUUAUGAGCGCCGCACCUUGCUUUGAGAGAACAUCAUAUAUUCGUGUUUGUGUUCUUGUUUUUCACUAGCUUUGCGUUUAUUCUCUGUGUUGAGCAAAGCAAGUCAGUUUUAUCUGUUUUGUGAAUUAUUGGUUGUAAGGGAUUAAGUGUGUUCGUCGGGGCUCACACUUAGAGAGUUAGUGUUAUCUAGCUUUCAACGGUUUAUCGUGUGUUGGGAUUUUGGGAAAUUAUAGAGGCGUUAGAAAGAUUGAGUCUUUGUAUAAGUCCUGCUGUAAUUUAACCUGGGCGAGACCCCUCAGACGUAGGUGUUCUAUCACCGAACUGAGUUACCAUAUUGCGUGUUCGUUUCCGUUCCUGCUUUCGAUUUUAUUUGUGUUGCUGCAUCAUUCCGGGUAUCAUCUUUAGUUCUUGUGCAAGUGUUCUAUGUAUUGUUGGGUAGACGGUUCUUUCAAUGAUCAUUAUUGUAUAUCGUCCAUCGUAUAAUUAUUUAACUCGAACUUGAUUAUUGCAUAUCUUCAAUUUUGGACUUUUGACAAUAGUGUUGGUAUUGUUAUAUUUUUUUUGAUAUAAUUUCACAAGUUAUAAAGAAAUUUAAAGAUUGCGCGACAAAAAAUUUGAAUCCAGGACCUCAGCUCUGGAGUUUUAAUCUUCUAUCACUAGGUACACACUGUUGGUAUUGAUAUUUGGUUUCUAUGUCUGUGUAUGUCAGACUAUGUAAUUUAUAGAUGCUUUGCAUAGCAUUUUGGUCUUAAAAUGACUUGUAGUGAUACCAUGUACUAUCAUUUUUUUCGAUAGAAUAACAGUAUUAAAUAUAUAAAUUUAAACGUCGCAUCAUGGUGAACUCGAAUCUAAGACCUUUGUCCUUAGGCAUUAACGUCUAUACCGCUCGACUAAUACACGCACACAAUACUAUAUAUCAGUGAUAUUUUAUAUAUGGGCAGCCACAUGCAAAGUUGGAGAUGAAUAUGGCAUUUAUAUAUCCCAAAUUCUCACUUAAUUUUCCCUUAUUAUAGAAAUCAAACUAUUUUCCGUAUUUUCUUAUAAUUGAAUCAAACACGUAAAUUUAACAAUUAGGAAUCAUGUUACCUUCUCAAAUCAUAAUUCCUGCGAAAUAAACGGGCCACAAGAAUUUUAUUUCUUAUUUACUUUUAGAUACACUAUUGGGCUAGACAAAUUAAAUGUAAGAUGAGAUGUAGAAUUUGGUCUGGUUUUUUGGGCUAGCCCGGCCCGGCCCAAAAUAUUUAUCCAUAAAAUACAUUUUUUAGAUGGGCUAUGCUAGAAAAAAGCGGCCCAAUUUUUUUGAACCAACUGCCAAGGGAGAAAGUGAACCGUAGCUGUUCGAUCAAUUGUCUGAACCAAUACGCAAUACUAGAGGAAUUUAUCCCGAAUCGAUCAGUUACCCGUUGGCAAGUAUGACGUACCCACCACUGAUGUGAAUUCUUUUAAACUUGUUGCACAUCAUCAUUCCACCACUCUCCUGCAACAUAUUAUUCCGAAUUUAAUUAUACAAACUCUAAAAUUCCAACACAAUUAAGAAUUUUAAUUCGAGCUUGUAUACCUAGUAAGAUGGGAAGUUGAGCAUGAGGCUUAGGGAAAGGAAAAGUGUGUAUAAACUUAUUUUUUCCGGGAGGUGAGAACAUUGCAUUGAAUGUAUAAACUUAUUUUUUUAGCAGAGGGUGAGAAAUGAUUGUCUUAUUGAAAUUAGACUUGGGCUCGAUGCUACCCAUCACAAGAAGAGAGAAGAAAAUGCAGUAUUCCUUAAUAAUUCGUUUAGAUUAAUCCGUGAGCCCACGGACAUUCCAAACGAGCACAUUCAUCAGAUUAUACAUUAUGUGUCCUAUUAGUCCUGGCAAGAGGUUUCGACAACGAAUUCUGCUCUCCAAGGAAGAAGGCACUUUAUUUUGGCACGCCCACAUCGAUUGGACUCGAGCUACUGUGUAUGNAAGACAAAUAUUUGGUUAUUAUACAUAAUUUUAAGGAAAUUAGACUUGGGCUCGAUGCUACCGAUCACAAGAAGAGAGAAGAAAAUGCAGUAUUCCUUAAUAAUUCGUUUAGAUUCAUCCGUGAGCCCACGAACAUUCCAAACGAGCACAUUCAUCAGAUUAUACAUUAUGUGUCCUAUUAGUCCCGGCAAGAGGUUUCGACAACGAAUUCUGCUCUCCAAGGAAGAAGGCACUUUAUUUUGGCACGCCCACAUCGAUUGGACUCGAGCUACUGUGUAUGGCGCCAUUAUCAUUCUACCGCCCAAGACACACACUUUUCCUUUCCCUAAGCCUCAUGCUCAACUUCCCAUCUUACUAGGUAUACAAGCUCGAAUUAAAAUUCUGUGUUGGAAUUUUAGAGUUUGUAUAAUUAAAUUCGGAAUAAUAUGUUGCAGGAGAGUGGUGGAAUGAUGAUGUGCAACAAGUUUACGAGAAUUCACAUCAGUGGUGGGCACGUCACGCUUGCCAACGGGUAAGUGAUCGAUUCGGGAUAAAUUCCUCUAGUAUUGUGUAUUGGUUCAGACAAUUGAUCGAACACCUACUGUUCACUUUCUCCCUUGGCGGUUGGUUCAAAAAAAUUGGGCCGCUUUUUUCUAGCAUAGCCCAUCUAAAAAAUGUAUUUUAUGUAUAAAUAUUUUGGGCCGGGAUGGGCUAGCCCGAAAAACCAGACCAAAUUCUACAUCUCCUCUUACAUUUAAUUUGUCUAGCCCAAUAGUAUAUCUAGAAGUAAAUAAGAAAUAAAAUUCUUGUGGCCCGUUUAUUUCGCAGGAAUUAUGAUUUGAGAAAGUAACGUGAUUCCUAAUUGUUAAAUUAACGUUUUUGAUUUAAUUAUAAGAAAAUAAGGAAAAUAGUUUGAUUUCUAUAAUAAGGGAAACUUAAGUGAAAAUUUGGGAUAUAUAAAUGCCAUAUUCAUCUCCAACUUUGCAUGUGGCUGCCCAUAUAUAAAAUAUCAUUGAUAUAUAGUAUCGUGUGCGUGUAUUAGUCGAGCGGUAUAGACGUUAAUGUUUAAGGACCAAGGUCUUAGAUUCGAGUUCACCAUGACGCGACGUUUAAAUUUAUUUAUUUAAUACUGUUAUUCUGUCAAAAAAAAAAUGAUAGUACAUGGUAUCACUACAAGUCAUUUUAAGACCAAAAUGUUAUGCAGAAGCCUUAAAGCAUCUAUAAAUUACAUAGUCUUACAUACACAAACAUAGAAACCAAAUAUCAAUACCAACAGUGUGUGUGUAAGAGCUGAGGUCUUGGAUUCGAAUUUUUUGUCGCUCGAUCUUUAAAUUUCUUUAUCAAAAAAAUAUAUCAAUACCAACACUAUUGUCAAAAUCCAAAGAUUGAAGAUAUACAAUAAUCAAGUUCGAGUUAAAUAAUUAUAAGAUGGACGAUAUACAAUAAUGAUCAUGAUUCUCGAGUUAAUUAUAUACACGUUUGGUAGAUUUAGGAGGUCUAUUAUGUUUGAAGCACAUAGAUAGCAAAUAUUUGGUUGUUUAUAAAUUGUAGUAUGUAUUUAUUAAUUAAUAAUGUUACAUAAUUAGAACAUAUAAAAUAAAAUAAAUUGUAAGAAUAAUAAAGUGGAAAAAUAAAGUUUUUUUUUCUUUAUUUGAGUGAAAAAAUAGUUGAAAUUUUAAAAAAAAAAAAACGAUGAGAGAAUGUAACGUAGGUAAAAUAUAAAAUACAAUGCAAAUCUUAAGUUCAUGUGGCAAAUAAAAUGUUGUUGUUCAUGAUCAUUGGAAAUGGAAAUGAAAUGUUGGUUUGUAGAUUUUAAUGGCUCAAAAUCUGAAAAUGGAAUGCCCUGCUCAAAAUACACAAUUUGUAGAUCUUAAUGACUCGAAAUUUGAAAAUGGAAUGACACCAAAAAUCUGCUCAAAAUGUAGUUCUUAAUGCAGAGCAAAAAUCUAGUUCUUAACUUGACCAUACCUUCUAAAAAAUCUGGAAAUGGAAUGCUCAAAAAAUGGUAGCCAAAGCUGACCUACUCGACAGAGCGGACCGUCACUCACAAGGCCGCCAGAGCUGACAGAACUGGCAAUUACGCGCUGAUAAGGAGGGACCACCAAUACACUGUAUACUUAGAAAUUAACUUAGUCAAUGGUAAAAAUUGAAGCUUUUACAGUAGUAUUGACUCUAUGAGAUGGAAUCUCUAAAAAAUGGUAAGAAGAGAAGGAAUUAGGUGGAAAGUGAGGGUUUUUUUCGUUGAUUAAGGCUUCUAUGAGGGUUUUGGGUUGAGGUGAGGUGGAAAAUUAGGGGUUUAGGUGAAGUGGAAAAUUAAGGUAAUGUGACAUUUUUAUAUAUAACGUAAGCAAUAGAGCAUUUUAAAUUUCCACUCUUACCUGACACUACCAUAGAGCAUUUUAAAUUUUCAUUCGUACCUAACACUACCACAGUACCACCUAGGGCUGUAAAUAAACAAAGCUACUCGCAAGCUAUUCAAGAUUCGGCUUGAAAAAAAGCUCAUUAAUUCGGAGAUCAAUUCGAUAGUAAACAAGCAAAGCUCGAGGUUGAUUUCAAGCUCGAGCCUGACAUUACUCGACUCGUUGAGCUUGCGAACAUGUUUGAAUUCGAUUGUUCGUGAACAUGUUUGCGAGCCUGUUCACAAACCUUCAGUCGAGCCUUCAAUCGAAUUAGUGCACAAGCCUUAAACAAUUCGAGCUUGAGCUCUAGUAACACAUUAAUUUAAAAGCUUUUCUUAAAUUUAUAACGAAUUCGAUCUCGAACAUCAUAUAUACGAACAUCUAACGAGUCGAGCUCGAACUUAAGUUCGACAUUAUCGAGCAUCAUCCGAACCGAGCUCGGUAAAUGGGUGACGAACCGAGUUCGAUCAACAAGAUAAAAGCUCGAAUCCAGCUCGAACACCCAAAUAUUAAAACAAGCCGAGCUCGAGCCUGCUAGUAUUCGGCUCGGCUCAGCUCGUUUACAGCCCUAGUACACACAUAGGAAAACAAGUACCACUUUAUGUUCUAUUUUUUAAUUUUAUUUAUUUUCUUAUAUAUUUUUUCUUCAAUUUCAACUUUGUAUGCUUUAUUUUAAUUUUGUGAUUAUUAACUAGGGUUUAUUCCAUCAAUUUAGGAUAUAUAAUUAUUUUUUAUUAUUUAAUUUCACUUUUAAUUAUUAGCUAUAGGUUGAUAAAUUCAAAGUCAUGAUAUAUACUCCCUCUGUCCCGCUAUUUAUGGCACGUUUCUUUUUGACACGGAGAUUAAGGAGAAGAAAAUUAAGGGAUUAAUUGUGUGUUUAACAAUUUGUUCAUCACCAAUUGUUCAUUGAAAACUUAUGCAAAACCAAAACAAAAAAUCGAAACACAAUACUCAACAACAAAAGAGAUAUGCCCUGUUAUUGAAGACAAGAGAAAAAAAAAAUUGAAACUCAGAUUAUCUACCCUUGGAACAAAGAGAUCUACACAAAAUAAAACCUAGAUAUUGAAAAUCCUAUAAACCUUCCCCCACUACAACUAAUGAAAAAAAAAUCAUCAACAUCUAUAGCGAACCCUAUUAAUCUCCUAAAAAAAAUCUCAACAAUGACAGCAGGACAUUAGUCGGCGUCUGCAUUCGUGCCCUAGGAGACAGAUAAUUGAUUUCUGUGUAACAAUUUUAAUAAGGAAUGUUGGUGGACGUCGUAUUCCACCAAAUAAUUCCUGCAGAAUUAUCAAAAACUAAUUAGUAUAAUGACAAGCAGGGUCGAUCCCACAGAGAGCAAGUAAAUCAUUCAAUUCCCUAAAAUUUAUAUUUUUGGUGAUGCCACCACUCCUUAAUUUUGAAAAAAUUAAUUAUAACUUAGAAAGCAAUAAAUCAAAUAAGAAUUUUGAAAUUAAUCAAUAAAAAGGUAACUCGGCUCAAAUAAAUCCACACUAAUUCAAAGCUCUGAUCAUCGACGCAAAGAUUAAUUAAUCCCUAUCAACCAACUAGUUAUAGGAUACCGUGAUACGCACUGACAUACCCCAAUUCCUACUUACUGUGUCGAUAGACGGCUGGAUACGCCAGUCCUGUCUAUUUCCCUUAUUAAAAUAUAACCUAGCCGGAUACGUCAGUCAUAGAUUUAAUAUUCUAAUAGCAUUAAGAGGAAGGAACCCAGUUUAGACCAAUUAUCCUAGAUACGCUAGUAAUAAUUAAUCCACCAAUUUAUUCCUACUACGAACACGGUAGGAAUAAAGCAAAGCAGUAAUAGAUAUUGGAGAAGUGGCGGCUCCUUCUCUAAACGAGCAUAUAUAUAGGGAUUAAACCCCUAAAGUCGCCACCUUCUUAAUCAACAUGGGCUUCGGCCCCUAAAAUAUAAGUUCCAAACUAAAAUAAGAGUUUUGGGCUCAAUUCAAUGUAAAAUAAUUAAGUCCAAGCCCAAUCUCUAAUUCUCUUCCAAAAGCAUAUGAACUCCAUCAAAUUCAUGUCAUUCUCGAACUUCUUCCAUCCAUGAGCUUCCAACCAUAUAUAAUUCAUGCAAUUCCUACGCCAAAAACACCAACAACUUGGAUAACAUCAAAUAUAAUCCAUGGCAGACAACACGAAUAUAAAUAACUAAAACACACACACCCAUCAAAUGUUUUUCUCAUCUGAGCGUGUAGUAGGUACACCUAAUGUACUCAACUCAUGUAUUGUAAUUAGUAGCUAUACCUAACCUUCAAUAAGCAUGUAAAUAAGCACCAGUUUAUUGCGACGUUGAAAUAAAUAAAUCAAAAGAUUAGAAUCAACGCCCACCCCCAUAUGCGCACCAGUUUACAUAACUCGAACUUCUCGAAUGUCAGAAAUUCACAUUUAUUGCGACCUUGAAAUAAAUAAAUCAAAAGAUUAGAAUCAACCCCAUAUGCGCACCAGUUUACAGAACCCGAACUUCUCGGAUGUCAGAAAUUCACAUUCAUGCACGUGAAAGAAUUAAAUGAGAGGAGAUGUAAACCUAGAAUCGACUUUAUAAAUACGGAGAAGAAAAAGGAAAUUAAUUCUCCUACCUCGUAUAGUAAACACCACCAGCUAGGAACAUGGCCCCAAAAAAAAAUAAAAAAAAUUAGUAGUAUUAAUAUUCAUAUAUAAAUUAUUUUAGAUUUAGUUUUUGCAUUCCCAAUUAAAAGUUUUAAUCCAAAAUAAAAGAGAAAUUCAGUUUUUAAAAUCCUAAAUUCCAUUGGCCCAACUAAAACGAGAGCUCAUCAUCUCUUUCUUUUUCAUUCUUUUGAUCAAGCCCAUCAUUUAAUCAAUCAAUUACCUCAAUUCUUAAUUAAACAAAAAAGUUGCAAGUACACAUUUUGCAUUUGGAAUGUAGAGUUAUUACUAUUAUAUUUGUAUUUUAGUAAAAAAAAUGUCUAAAAUGUAUUGGAGGCCUCAAAAAAAAAAUUAGCCCCUCGAAAAAAUUCUAGCUCCACCAGUGUUUAUAAGAUUAUUUUUUGCACCCCAAUUUUAAAAUCCUGGAUCCGCCACUGCACACCGCUGAAAAAAAAUGUUUUUUCAUAGGAAGCUUAAGGUUUUCAUGCUGUGCUACCUUGGUAUUAUUAUGGCUCCAGUCCAUGCUUUAGUUCAUCAUAAGUUUAAAGUAUGUAUUGUUCCCCAUGCAUGCUACUAAUAUUAAUUGAUUUUGUUUUUUAUUAAUAGAAAGUCAUGCACGUGAAAGAAUUAAAUACUCACGUACGUUAAUUCAGAAAUAAAUGAGAGGAGAUGUAAGGUAGAAUCAACAUUAUAAAUACGGAGAAGAUAAAGGAAAUAAAUACACACCACUGAGAAAAAUGUUUUUUCAUAGGAAGCUUAAGGUUUUCAUGCUGUGCUACCUUGGUAUUAUUAUGGCUCCAGUCGAUGCUUUAGUUCAUCAUAAGUUUGAAGUAUGUUCCCCAUGAUUUUGUUUUUUAUUUAUAGAAAAGGUAGCUAAUUGGAAGUGUAAGUUUGCAGGUGAGAAGAUCUUCACACACCAGGCUAUGCACCACCAAAAGCAUGCUAACAGUAAACGGGCAGUUCCCAGGGCCAACUAUAUAUGCUCGAAGGGGAGAAUUGGUGGUAGUCGAUGUUAUUAAUCGUGCCGAUGCAAAUAUUACUAUCCAUUGGUACGUCAAAUUCAAGCAUUUCAAACUCAUAUACUCCCUCCGUUUUUUAUUAAGUGUCCUAUUUUACUAACUUCCUUGUUUCUUAAAGCAUUUGCAUGAAACUGAUCAUAUAUCAUCAUAUAUAAGCAUAUAUAUAUGGCGAUCGAUUUCAGGCAUGGAGUAAAAAUGCCGAGAUAUCCAUGGACAGAUGGCGUCAACUCUGUCACGCAGUGUCCUAUUACUCCCGGCAAAAGCUUUCGACAACGAGUUCUGCUCUCCGACGAAGAAGGCACUUUGUUUUGGCACGCCCACAUCGAUUGGACUCGAGCUACUGUGUAUGGAGCCAUCAUCAUUCUACCGCCCAAGACACACACUUAUCCUUUCCCUAAGCCUCAUGCUGAAUUUCCCAUCUUACUAGGUAUAAUUAAAAUUCUCGACCAAUAUUAAUUAAUUGUGUUGGAAUUCUAUCGAUUCGGAAUAAUUAAUAAAUGUUGCAUGCAGGAGAGUGGUGGAAUGAUGAUGUGCAACAAGUUUACGAGGAUUCUACAGAACUAGGAAUCGGUGCCAAAUUGUCUGAUGCUUUCCUCAUGAAUGGUCAACCUGGCGACCUCUAUCCCUGCUCAAAACAAGGUAAAAUCCAAACAAAUAGGAGUAUGGAGCAAAUGUAUCGUCUUGACCGGGACAGAGGGAGGGAGUAAAAGUUUUACUAAUUAAUUUGGUUUGAUGCAAUUAAUGCAGAUACAUUGAAGUUGAGUGUGGAGCCGGGCAAGACUUACCUGAUCAGAAUGGUUAAUGCAAUGAUGAACUACAUUAUGUACUUCAAAAUCAAGGACCACAACGUGACCGUGGUGGGGAUGGACGGCGCCUACACGAAGCCGCUGAACACCGAUCACAUCGCCAUCGCCCCCGGCCAGACCAUAGAUUUCCUUCUGGAAGCCAACCAGCCGCCCAGCCGUUAUUACAUGGCCGCCAGAGUAUACGCCGGCCCCGAGUGGAAAACUUACAUCCACACCACAGGAAUCGUGGAGUACGUCGGUAACUACACCCGGCCCUGGCCGUCAUCACCGGUGCUUCCAUCUUUCCCUGAGAUCGACGAUGGGGUGGCCAGGUCCACCCAUUUCAGCAACAGGCUCAGAAGCCUCGCCGACGACAACUACCCCAUCAAAGUUCCUAUGAACAUCACCCACAACAUGUUCGUCACUCUCUCCAUCAAUACGUGGCCCUGUCUCACAAAUUCUUGCGUCCACGUCUUCGGGCUGCUGGCCAGCAUGAACAACGUGACCAUGUUGUUGCCCAAAACCCAAAAUAUUCUCGAGGCGUAUUACAAAGGGAUCAGAGGAGUUUUCACGACCAAUUUCCCAGCGAUGACACCAAUAAUAUUCGACUUCACGCAAGGUUAUAAGCCGGGGAAUUUUGCGCCCGCCCAUUUCGGAACGGCUGUGUACAUGUUGGACUACAACUCGGAAGUCGAGAUGGUGCUUCAAGGCACCAACUAUGGCGUUGGCGAUGGAAUCGAUCAUCCCAUGCAUUUACAUGGACACAGCUUCUAUGUUGUCGGAUCUGGAUACGGGAACUUCGACCCAAACACGGAUCCGCCAAACUUUAAUCUCAUUGACCCGCCGUUGGUGAACACGGUUGCCGUUCCAAGAAGUGGAUGGAGCGCUAUCAGAUUUAAGGCUAACAAUCCAGGUUCCCAUCUCCUUUUCCUUCAUAAAUUGUUAAGCAAAAGUCUCAUAGUUUAUUAAGUAAUUAAAGUUGCAUUAAUAUUAUGGCGCGCAGGAGUGUGGUUCAUGCACUGUCAUUUCGAGCGUCAUCACAGUUGGGGAAUGAAGAUGGCGUUCAUCGUUAAGGACGGGGAAGGCCCCAAUGAGAAGAUGUUGCCUCCGCCCCCAGAUAUGCCCCUCUGUGAACCGCCCCCUGCAGCCUCAACAAUUUAGGAUUAAUUAAUUAUAUCAAUCCGCACGUAUUGUAAAAUUGAGUCUUACUUACACAAGGCUCACCAUGAUUCAUAAGAAAACCAGCAUGGGUUUCUUUUAUUUAAACUAGGGUUAUUUCUUCUAGUCCUUCCUUCUGUACACCAUCAAUGUUUCUUUAAUUUUGUCAUUUUAGUAUGUCCACAUAAUAUGUUCCCUUUUAUUUUUAAACAUUACCCCAUAACACAAUUUACUAUAGUAGGACUCAUACAUCACUCCUCCACCACACAAUAUGUGAUUUUUUAUAUAAAAAAUUGGACAAUUCAUAUGUAUUUUAUGCAAAAUGACACUUUCUUUUUCUCUUUCCUUUUUUUCACAUUAUGAUGGGAGUAUUAUCGUAAAAAUGCAUAUAUCGUUAUUUAUUUUAGAGUGAAUUUUGAAAAUAGCCACUUUAAAAUAGUAAAAUUAAAAAAUACCCACUAAGAUAAAAAAAAUUUUAAAAAAUACUCACAUUUACCAUUUUACCCUUACAUAUAAAUUUUUUACAAAUACCCACAGUUCACUAGUUGUGAAUUCAAGUUUUAAAACUCGAAUUCACAACUGAAUAACAAGUACUAAUUGUUGUGAAUUCAAGUUUUAAAGUUUGAAUUCACAACUAUAAAUAGUGUUAGUUGUGAAUUCGCGUCAAUUCAUAACCAACACUAUUUCUACUUGUGAAUUCACAACCAAUAAAACUUGAAUUCACAAUCAACACUAUUUUCAAGUUGUGAAUUCACAACCAAUAAAACUUGAAUUCACAACCAAUACGGUCAAGAUUCGUAUUAAAUUUUGUAUACAAUAAUAUAAUAUAUUUAUAAUUCUAGUAGUUGUUUAUUACGCUUGGAUUUCGAUCUUGACUUGUGGUGUGAAUUUUGAAAACAUGUAACCAUUUCAAUUUUAAAAGUUUUGAAGUAAAAAAAUAAAUAAAAUUAUUCUAAAUAUCAAUUUUGCAGUCCCGAAAACAAAUCACAUAUUAUAAUUUGACAAAGGCAUUUUAAGAAUAAUAAUAUAUUUCAUAUUUCAUAAAAAAUACCAUAUUUUAAUGAAUGACCAUAUUUUAUGUAGGAGUAUAUUUUUUUAAAUCUAAAUAACAUGUUUAUAUGAAAUGAGUCAAUGACCAAUAUAGAAUUUACUACUCCCUCCGUCCAUGAAAAAGAGUCCCACUUGGAAUUUGGCUCGGGUUUUAAAAAAGUUGUUAAAGUAGAUGUAAGUGAGAUAAAUGUAUAAUUUGUUGGGGUAUUAUUAGCACAAAAAAGUAGAAUAAAAGUACACUUUUAGUUAAAAAGUGGAAUAAAAGUACAAUUUAUAGUUAAAUGUAAAAUAAAAGGUAUGAUGUGAUGGUUCAAAAAAUUAAAUAAAACUCUUUUUCAUGANAUUUUUAUUUUACCUAAAUAUCGUUUUUUGCCUAUUUUUUUUCGAAAAAUAUAUUUUAUUUUUAAAUUGUUUUUUUAUUUUUUUUAUCGUUUUAUAAUUUUUCUUUUAAAAUAUUAUUUCCUUAAAAUUUCUCAACUACUUUUAAUCUUUUCCUAAACAUAUUUUAUUUACAUUUUUAUUUUACCUAAAUUUUGUUUUUUUAUGCCAUUUUUUUUCGAAAAAUAUAUUUUAUUUUUAUAUUGCUUUUUUUUAUUUUUUUUAUCAUUUUAUUAUUUUUCUUUUAAAAUAUUAUUUCCUUAAAUUUCCCAACUACUUUUAAUCUUUUCCUAAAUAUAUUUUAUUUACAUUUUUAUUUUACCUAAAUUUUGUUUUUUUUUUUGCCAUUUUUUUUUCGAAAAAUAUAUUUUAUUUUAAAUUGUUUUUUAAUUUUUUUAUCAUUUUAUUAUUUUUCUUUUAAAAUAUUAUUUCCUUAAAUUUCUCAACUACUUUUAAAAUUUAUAUUUUUUUCGAAACUAAUAUUUUAGUUGUUUUAAGAGUAAAUUUUUAUUUUUUUCCAAAAUUAUGUUUUAUUAAUUUGUUUCCAGAUUUUUAUUAUUAUUAUUAUUAUUAUUAUUAUUAUUAUUUAUUUAUUUUUUGAAAUUAAAUAUUUUUUUUCAAAUUUUAUUUUUAUGGGAAUUUAGUAUUUUAGUUAUUUUUUGGGGAAUUUAGUAUUUUAGUAUUUUUUUGGGAAUUUAGUAUUUUAGUUGUGGCAGCCGCAAUAGGUUGUCGUUGGAAAUCAACUUAUCUUCUAUUGUCGCCAUAAAUAAAUAAAUAUUAAUGUUAUAUAUAGGCUACAAAUUAGAAUAUUAAAACGCAGAUUUGAGGCAAAGAAAAAGGAAAAAAAUAAUAUUGAUUAUGUUUUGUAUAAGAUUUUAAGUGAUUGCACGCCAUGUGUUUGUAGAAAAUGCCUGUUCGAUUUUAAAAAAAAAAACUAAGCGAUUUGUUGCCAAAAAAAAAUACACCCCUCUAAGGAACAAGGGGGAAUCGAACCUCUGACCUUCGUCUAAUGUAUAUGAUACUUUGCCACCUUGCCCGGCAGUGGCAGCCACAAUAAGUCAUGGUUGAAAAUUAACUUACCUUCUAAUGUCGUGUACUUAUGUUUAUUUUAGCUCAUUUUAGCUUUUUCAUACAUUCAAUUUAAUUCUUAUGUUGAUUAUAAAAAUAUUUGUUGUUAAUAUAAUUUAACUAUAUUGUUGAUUAGUGUUUUAAGUGUGUAAUUAAUAAAGUAUAAAAUUGAUAAAAUAAAAGGAAACGUGUCAAGAUUCGUAAGACAACCCAAAAAUAAAAACGUGUCAAGAUUCGUGGGACGGAGGGAGUAUAUGUUAAAUGGUCUUGCAAGCGAAAUCCAAUCGUAUAAAUUUUUUUAUUUUUUCCAAAUUCAAUAAUUAAUUUCAAUACAUUGCAAAAUGCCAUCGUAUUAUUAAAUUGAGGUUUAUUAUAAAAGAAAAAGAAAAAAAUCCCUUGAGAGCACAAAACGCAGACUAAGGGCACGAAACUCGAAAAGAGAUCGUUAAGCUAAGAAUCCUGAAGACACUAGCAAUCCCAUAACUCAGGAUAGUCGUCCAUCUCAUCUGACCAACGUCUAUUUACUAUAUUAUUCAUUGCCCUCAUGCUAUCACUAUUGCUACAAUCAACUACAAAGUCCCUCGGCUUGUAGCUCAUUUCACCCGCAUUCCUGAGACGACCUUUUAUGCUACCUUCCGGAACCGCUUGCAUCGGCUCCUUUCCCAUGCCCUUUCCCGUGCCCUUUGGGCGGCCACGUCCCCGCUUGGUCGUCUUGUCCGAGAGCAUUUGCAUCCCCUGAUUAACCUGCUCUUCUAACUGACUAAUGCGACUAGCAAUAUUGUCCGGGCCAAGAGCGGACAAAUCCUUGUUACCUUCAUGCGAAACACCCCCUCUUUUGUCCAAAGUUGGGUCACGUUCGAGAUCAACAACUGUGUCGUCCAUAAUCGGGCUGUUCAAACCCGCGCCAUUCGGAGCCUCCAUCUCCAAAGUUUCCUCCACAUCCGAGUCCUCCUCGUUAAUGACUAAGUCACUAUCUUUAAUAAUCACAUCUUUAACCCCCUGAACCGGAACCAGGAUUUUAUCCAACAAAUCCGGGCCAGAUAAAUGAACCCCGAAAGACGUUCCAGAAAUAGGAUCAACGCCCAUAUCCAAAACAGUCUCCGCAUUAUUCUCCAAGUCAAGAGCCUGAAAUGCGUUCCGCGUCUCAACAGCCUCUUUCUCAAGAACCUGAACAACAAUCUGUUUUUUACCGCCUGUUCGGUAACCUUUGACCAAGCCGCAGCAGGUUUAUCAGCUAGUUGAGCUUUAGGCUUAACCUUCUUGCUCUUGUUUUCAUAAUCAGUAGCAGACUCGAUCAGAGCUUCUUUACUGUCCUGGAUGUCCUUCCGCUUAAGCUUUGUACACUUUUCCACCUGAUGUCCAGUGAUGCGGCAAUUCGAGCAAAAGAAGGCAAUUGUUCAUAGCUAAACUCGACAUAGAAAGGAUGUUCACAAUCUAUAAGCAUCGAUUCCUGCAAUGGCUGAGCGAGAUCCACUUCAAUUAGCACACGAAUGAAAUGGCCGACCUCUCCAUGAGCUGAUACACCAUCAAUUUUUAUUGGAAAACCAAUAAUUCUAGCAAUUGCUGUUAUUACCUCAGGAUCCCAAAACUCAUUCGGAAGGUAAUAAAUCCGAACCCAAACUUGACAAAUAGAAGAGACUUCCUUGUAGGGAUUGAAACAUGGAACCCAAUCGCGGAGGCGAAUGGAACCCGCAGCCAAAUCCCAAACAAUUUUAGCUUUCGCAAGUUUUUUAUCUUCAAGAUUAGAGAAUUUCAUGGUGAAAAAACCCUUACCCAGAGUGAGAAGCUUCCACUCUGAUUGGAUACCCCACAAAUUGUUGAGUUCAAGCUUCAACUGAUGUGUCGCCUGUGGCUUGCUUCCUUUCCGUAGUAAUACCCUUCCAAUAACAGAGAAUUCGAAUUCAGCAAUACGUUUUUGAUACAUCUGUUUCGGAAUGGUGAGAGAGAACCCAUCGGCGAGUUUCUCAGCCUUAAGAGCUGAGAAUUUAUGUGCUGGUAAAUCUGGAGGUCGAUCAACCCGUUGUUGCAUGAUCGAGGCGUAUGAAACCCUACCCUCUGGUGGCGGCUGCUUUGUGAAGUUAGGCACCGAAGCUGUUCCUUCAGACGGAAUUGUAGAGGUAGUUCCAGAUCCUGAUGGAUUAUCCGAUAAACAAACCUCAACAAGUUUCAAAUUCCCAUGCUCCAAAUCCCUCGACUGUUGAUAAAAGUUGUUUGAGAUUUGUGGCAGGCGAAGGCUAUUAGGUUUCUCAGGAAAUCCACGGGCUCCUGAAGCAGUCGGCGACAGAGAGGAAGCAGUUCUCUUAGCGGCGCCGGAGAGCGGCGUCGGCGAAAGAACCAUGGCUGAUCUCCGACGAAGACGGCCUUCCGGAGGCGGAGCUGAUUUGGAGAUGCUGCUCCGCCGUGGCCCGGUGGUCGUGAGAAUCAGAUCGAAGGCGGACUGGCGCCGGCGUCGAUAGAUGAGCACCGGCCUCACCGGUUCCGGUGUGCGGCGAGCAGCGUCGGGGUGGUGGCGUAGUCAACGUCGGGCUGGUGGCUUCGCCGCGCUGCUGCUGCUGGAGCACCGGUCGCCGCUCUGCAAGUCGCCGCUGCUGCUGGAUCUGCCGGUCGCCGCGCUGCAAGUCGCCGCUGCUGCUGGAUCUGCCGGUCGCCGCUCUGCAAGUCGCUGCUGCUGCUGGAUCGCCGGUCGCCGCGCUGCCGGUCGCCGCUGCUGCUCGUUCUGCCGGUCGCCGCUGCUGCCGAUCUGCAAGUCGCCGCUGCUGCCGAUCUGCAACCCCAAUCGGUGUGCGUGAAGGUGGCGACGGCGCGAGUCAGGGACAUGUGUCAGGGACAUGUGUAGGGCGACCUCGCAAUCAUCACGUGUAUUGUCAACAAAAUGCCAUCGUAUAAUGCAUUCUUUCUCAUCCAAAAAUAUGUUAAAUAUUGUCGCGGCCGAAAUCCAAUUGUAUGAAUCAUUUCACUUUAUUUCAUUUAUUUAUAUAUUAUAUUCACAAAUUUAACUUAAAUUAAUUAAUAACUCAUAAUUUUAUAACAAAUAGUUAUAUCGACUUCGUUAAACUAUAGUAUAGCAGUUCAUUGUCUUAUUGGCAUAUCACGUUUAAUUGUUUUCAAUAAAGCAUUGUAUUUCCCUCAAGUAUAUGUUAAAUAGUUUUAUAUGUUAAUUUUAUUUCCAAAUUCACUAAUUAAUUUCAAAUAAUUUAUUAACUUUAUUUCAUUGAAUAUAAUUUUUUCGACUUCACAAAGUAUAUGGUACAUAGUUUUCCAAACAAAAUCCAUUCGUUUGAUGCAUUUAUUUUAAUUUUCUUAUCGUCACUCACACAGUAGUAGUUCAUUUUCUUAUUAUUACAUCACCUUUAAUAAAGUAUAUGUUAUUUAUUUUUUCGAUCUAUUUCCCAUCAUAUGAUUCAUUUUAUUUUUAAAAAUGUAACUAAUUUAGUUUAAUCAAUUAGUUCAACUUUAUUUCAUCGAGUAUAAUUAUUUCGACAUCAUUAUUUAAACUAUUAUGAUACAUUUUCUUCAAGUAUAUGUUAUAUAUAGUUUCCCGAGCGAUGUCUCACCGUAUGAUUCAUUUUGUUUAAGUAAGAUUUUUAAUUACACAACAUAAUUCCAUUGAGUAAAAUAUUUAUUCAUUUAUAAUAUAUUUUAUGCAAUUUUUUGUUUUUUAGGCUAAAACAUAUUCAAUUGUUUUGACAAAAUAUACAUUACUUAAAAUAUAAUAUAUUAUAGGCAAUUUUAUUUUUGGCACAACUUCAAUUGUUUAUACAAUAUAAAUAUUCCUUCAUUUAUAUAAUAUUUAAUUUUAUAAUUUUCAUCAUUUAUAUUGCCCACAUACAUAUUCCUUCAUUUAUAAUAUAUUUAAUAUUAUNAAAUAGUAAUAACUAGGAAAAAAGAAAAUACAUUAUAACAAGAAAAAGGAAAAAAAAUAAGCGAAUAAGAAAACAAAAAAAUAAGCUAAUAGCAAAAGGAAGAAUAGAAAAAUAAGAAAAAAAAAAAAGAAAAAAGAAAAAAAAAAAAAAAAGGUAAAACAAAACGCAAGAAAAUGAAACACUACGAAAUGCUAUAGGGAAGAUUUGAACUCUGGUAGAUAAGAAAGGGAAAACUUUCCCCAACACUACACCACAUUUAAUUUUGUAAUUAAGAAGGAAACAGUUUUUAUAUAUUAUAUGCGAGCCCAGACCCGCCCAUCCCACACCUUAACCCGCCAGACCCGCGCCCAAACCCACCCAACCCGCGCCCCGACCCGUCUCAUGGGGUGAGGUUGACCUCACCCAAGACCAACUCAACUUAAAUUCACAACCAAUACGGUCAAAAUUCGUAUUAAAUUUUGUAUACAAUAAUAUAAUAUAUUUAUAAUUCUAGUAGUUGUUUAUUACGCUUGGAUUUCCAUCUUGACUUCUGGUGUGAAUUUUGAAAACAUGUAACCAUUUCAAUUUUAAAAGUUUUGAAGUAAAAAAAUAAAUAAAAUUAUUCUAAAUUUCAAUUUUGCAGUCCCGAAAACAAAUCACAUAUUAUAAUUUGACAAAGGCAUUUUAAGAAUAAUAAUAUAUUUCAUAUUUUCAUUAAAAAAUACCAUAUUUUUAAUGAAUGACCAUAUUUUAUGUAGGAGUAUAUUUUUUUAAAUCUAAAUAACAUGUUUAUAUGAAAUGAGUCAAUGACCAAUAGAGAAUUUACUAUUCCCUUCGUCCAUGAAAAAGAGUCCCACUUGGAGUUUGGCUCGGGUUUUAAAAAAGUUAUUAAAGUAGAUGUAAGUGAGAUAAAUGUAUAAUUUGUUGAGGUAUUAUUAGCACAAAAAAAUAGAAUAAAAGUACACUUUUAAUUAAAAAGUGGAAUAAAAGUACAAUUUAUAGUUAAAUGUAAGAUAAAAGGUAUGAUGUGAUGGUUCAAAAAAUUAAAUGAAACUCUUUUUCAUAAACAAAAAAAUAGGAUUAGUAUGACUCUUUUUCAUGGACGGAGGAGUAAUAAAAACCCUGGCAUUGUAAAAAGCGAGGAAAAAUACUUGUCUGCUUUAUUUGAAUUCAUUACCAAAAAGGGAAAUGAUUGACCAAAAAGCGUAAAAGGGGUAAAAAAAACGCGUCACGUUAAAAAGUCGAGAAAUUUUCAUGAUAUUUUUUUUUUUUUUUUUUAUCUUCUUCUUCGAAUCACUGUCACACUAUCAACACUCUGAUAACGAACCACUCUCUCUCUCUCUCUCCCUCACACACAUACACACCUGAAAACCGUCUCCGAUUCUUCAAUCACUUCGAAAUUGAGUGAACUGGAGCUCAAAAGAUCCCCGAGAUUGGGAUCAAAUGGGUCGCAACUCAAUAACCCCCGGAGAUUCAGCUUCCGACGACGCAUCGGCGGCCACAUUCCACUCGAUCCGCGACCGUUUCGCCUUCAAGCGGUACCACAACGCUAGCAGCGCGGCCGAACUUCCGCGCUCCUCCAAAACGGCGACGUCAGCGCACAAAACCUCCCGAUCUCACCACCACAAGCAGCGGAAGCUAUCGUUCUACCCAUUCAAAGGCAAAUCGAGGCUCUACGUGUGCAUUUUCACGGUGCUUUUCGUGUUUUUUGUGGCCUCGAUGGUUUUGCAGAGUCGAUCAUGCUGGCUUUUCGGCAGGGAGUUGGUGGCGAAAGAAUGCGGUGGAGGUGGUCGGUGAAGGAGGGGUUGGAGCUGGGGAGCUCGCUGGAGUUUGUGCCUCGGCGGAGGCUAGAGCUGAACGGAAGCCGGCUCGAUUUGCUCAGAAGCCAGCCGAGGAUUGGUAUUCGGCCUCCUAGGAUCGCUUUGGUAAGUGAUUGAUUGAUAUACAUGUUUCUUUAAGAUGUAAUUAGGAAAUUCAAAUUCCUAUGAUUGAACUUGAAUUUAAGGUUAAUUAUGAGCUUAUAUUGUUAUACAUGCUGAAUUGGUGGUUUGCAUGAUCAGAGAUUUGAUAGUUGUUGAAAUUAUAUGCAUAAUGAUCUGGAAUGUAAAAGCGUAAGUGCCAAAACCAAAUGUCUAUGUUUGACGGAAGAGUAGUUCAAAUCCUGUUUUCAAAUGCGUGUCUUCCUUAUUAUAGGUGUGAAAAAAUGAGAUAGAGCUUUGGUGAGUGAUAAUCACUUCAUAAUUCCAGCUUCGGCUUGAAUAGGAUAUCAAGAGGAUAGGUAAGAUGCAAGAGUCACAGAACAGUCGCGUGGCAUGGCCUUAAUUCUGCUGAUUUCUAGGUGAAUAUGCAUUUUGUAGCGGAUCAUUUAUCAAUUAUCUGAAUGCUAAAGGCAAUCUAUGUCAGAUAGGUUUAAUAUUGUUCGUUUGCAACCUUCAUACCUUACUCACACACACACGCAUGCUUCUUUUCUACCUAAUGAAGUGCAAUGAGACUGAGUCACUCUUGUCAUAUUUUAGGCAGUCAUCUAUUUGUCUUUCUCUUAACUUAUGAAAGUGUUGUGGAAAAACCCAAUGCCUUUUAACACUUUCCAAACCUAAAAAUUAAUAAACUUCUGAUAAUAGCUGCAAGAAGGUGGUGUUUGCAUGUGUUAAAUAUGUGGGUGAUUGAACAAGCAUUGUAACAUUAGGAUCUCUCGAUUAUGGUGUUGCUUUGCCAUGUUUUCCGCGAUGAGCUAUGGAAAAUUCAAGUACAAGUUUUGUACUUCGUUAUGCUCUAAUUUAUCUUACCUACCCACCUUGCGCACCUUUUUUCCCUGCAAGGUAGGGAUUAGAUGUUUGUCCAAAUCUUUGAUUUCCUUUUGUUGACUUCUAAGAUGCAUUCUGCAAAAGGCAACAACUUCUAGUAUUGCCAUAUGCAUUCCAAUUGAAAUGCUGUAAUAUAUUUAUUCAUUCUUUUUUAUCAAUGCAAGAUCUUAGGGAACAUGAAGAAAGAUCCUUCAGCACUAUUGCUGUAUUCUUUGAUGAAGAACUUAAAAGGUCUCGGCUAUCUGCUUAAGGUAUUUUUUUCAUAACAGUUUGCAUUUGAUGCUACUUAACUGUUUUGUAUUCAUAAUGACAAUUGUAAAACCCAUACAAGCUAAGUGCCCAAUUUUUUCCUAACCUUCUCCGCUCUUCACUUUCAUCUCUAAAACUAAAGGAUAAUCUCUGUAAUUGAAAAUUUUCUGUAUAAAAUAGUGUGCAUUCAUCAUGCUCUGGAUAUAAUAUAGUAAUUCAGAAAGUGUAAAGAUCAUUGGAAAAAAAGAGUUCAUGCCCAGAAGCUCCAGACCUUGAUAGAGUAGGUGUAACCAAAGAAUUAGUAUAAGCAGCAGCCUCCCUGGAAUUCGAGUUGGGAAUAUUACUUGCAUGUUGUAUACCUUCUUGAGUGAAAGUGUGCCAUAACUCUUAGUACUAUUACUCUGAGAUAAUGGCAUAACUACUUAGUAAAUAAAUUUCUAUGAGCUUUGAGUAUAUGUCCUCAUCAACUUCUUAAGCUCUAGUAAUUAAUAUCUUAGUUUGGAUAUACGCUUCCGCGCAUGUGAAAUGAAACCACACAUUCUUGCUGUAAUAGAAGUGAAAACUAUCUAAACUCUUCAUAUAUAUAUAAGCUAAGAGUCUGCCUUUGUACGUAUGAAUCUGUAGGAGAAAGUUCUGGAACAAAUAUUAGCUUGCAGUUGAAACUUGUGAUAAUAUCAGUUACUAAAAUACGUCUAUAUCUUCCUAUUAUGCACAUUUAAAAGUUUACCUAUACCCCAUAUACUUUCUGUAGUUAUUUGCCCUCAAAGAUGGCAGAGCUCGUUCUGUCUGGCAAGAGCUUGGAGGUCCAGUUUCAAUUUUAUGGCCUGAAAGAUAUGGUUACAUUGAUUGGUCAAUGUAUGUUUUCUCUUCCAUUUCUUCAUUUUACCCUAGAAGUUCUGUAUGUUAGUUGCAUAUAUUGUUGAUUAGUUUUCUCUAGGCACUAUAGCUGAGCGAUGCCUUUUUCUGCCUACAGUUAUGAAGGUAUUGUUGCGGAUUCCCUUGAGGCAAAACAUGCCAUUUCCAGGUAUUAUUUCUUGAAAGAAUUUUCUGUGUUUCAGAUACAUCCUUUAACUUUCAUCGCUGGAUCUAUAUCACAAAUGAGGCGAACACAAAAGUAAAAUACUAUGAUAAAUGAGGCCUAGUGAAUAUUGUCCUUUAGACCCACUUCUCCCCAGCCCAAAUUUAGUUAGCCAUUUGAGGUCAGUUAGUUUUGCUGUUUUCUGUCAGUAAGAUUUCCUCCCAUAGAUCUGAUUGGUGCACUGAUGGCAAGCACACAUACUGAUAGAUAUUGUUCCUAACAAAGAGAGAAUCUCAUACAAAUAUGACCAGUUGUGAGUGAUCAAAAUUGUUGUCUAGGAAAUUAUGUGCAAGCAUCAUCAAUUUGAGCAAAGGUUUUUGGGUACAAGUUUAGCUACAGAUUCAGAUGCUAAAUAAGUAUGUUCCAACAGGCUUUCAACCAGGUAGCUAUUGGAUCACUAUAGUGUAGGGAAAUCUACAAUACUGACUACAUCCUCAUGGUCCAUAUUAUCCCUAUGAGUGGUUCCAUGCUUGCUGUCUAUGAGAGGGUGACUGCAGCAAAACUGCUAGAAGUGACUCCAAAGCUCCAAUGCCUGCCUGACAUAAGGCGAUAGUUUCUCUUUGGCUUCUCCUGUCUUUAAAGCUUUAGUAUGCCAUACACCACCAUGCUUAACAUGCCAACCUUGAUAUUUUUCCUUAGACUGCAUCACCAGUAGAUCUCUGAAUCAAUGUACCACGAAAUUUACUUUCCUUCAGUACAGAAAAAAUUAUUUCUAAGAGAAGACUUGAGAGUUUUCUUGAGAAAAGCUACAGGAGAUUGUUCAGUUCUGAAAGGACCAUCUUGAACCAGAGCUUCAGUGAACAUAACAAUAGUUUAGGACUCCUCCACGUUUCCUAUUCCUAUAGCAAACAUGUAUGUGAUGGAUACUCCCAUGCAGUGUACACUGCGUAGUGCUAUUUGGUAUUCUAUGAUUUGUCAAUUUGAUAUCUAUGCAGCCUUAUGCAGGAGCCUUUUUGCUCUGUGCCUCUGAUAUGGAUUAUCCAAGAGGAUACUCUCGCCAGUCGUCUACAACUUUACGAGGACAAGGAUUGGGGCCAUCUCAUUUCUAAUUGGAAAAUUGCUUUCAGUAGGGCUGAUCUUGUGGUGUUUCCAGAAUUUUCUUUCCCGGUAAAAUUCUUUCUGGAUUUUUUCUUCUUAAGAUGUGACUUAUAUAAGGAUUGUCUUAGUUCUGAGUAUUUAUUAUUCCUCUUCCUGUAUCAGAUGUUAUAUAGUGUUCUUGACACUGGAAACUUCUUUGUAAUUCCUGGAUCUCCAAUAGAUGUUUGGGCUGCAGAAAGCUAUAGUGAGACUCAUUCCAAAUCUCAGCUACGGAAGGAAAAUGGUUUUCACGAUGAUGACCUGCUGGUUCUAGUUCUUGGGAGUUCAUUCUUCUACUAUGACCUAGCCUGGGAUUAUGCAGUGGCAAUGCAUGAUCUAGAACCUGUGCUCCUCAAAUAUGCAGGACAAAAUGAUGUUGGAUUUACAUCAAAGUUCAUUUUCCUUUGUGGAAACUCCAGCAAAGUAUACAGUGAUGCCUUGCAGGUAUAUGUUUGCAAUUGGCUGUUCUAAAUGUAAGAUUUUUACUGCAUCUGUCCAUGUGGGUUUCAGAAAAUGAGAUGCCAAUAAGGUUUAACAUUGCCACAUUUGAUUUCUAUUGGGAAAUGAUGACAGGUACUCCCUCCAGCAAUAAUUUGUCGGUACACAACAGCUGAUUCUUUUGAUAGUUCUAAUAUAAUUAGUCCAAAUUUGUUCCGUAUCAUCUCACAUUUGAUUUAUUUUGUUAUGAUUUAUGUAUGUACAUGUUUGAUUCUGGCUCAUUUUUUCAAACCACAAUGUUGGAAAUAGAAUUGGAUGUGCUCUGUUUGUACCUUCUACUUGAAGAAACUGGCAGUUUUCAGUUCUGCCUUUAAUAUUAUUUUUACUACUAACACUGUUACACCUAUGUAGGAUAUUGCAACUCGUCUGGGAUUAAAGCAAGGAUCAUUGAUGCAUUUCGGCAUAAAUAGUGAUGUGGACAGUCUAAUACUGAUCGCUGAUAUUGUUCUGUAUGGAUCCUCCCAAGAAGAUCAGGGAUUUCCUCCUUUGCUGACUAGAGCCAUGUCAUAUGGGAUUCCUAUAAUUGCUCCAGAUUAUCCUGUCAUAAGAAAAUAUGUACGUCACAUUUGUUUCUCUUUUGAAGUGAUCUUGUAGCUAUCCUCUGAAGCUUAUAUUUUCCAUGGAUUGAUAUUUUGAAUGUAGGUUGUUGAUGGAGUUCAUGGAAUAAUUUUUCCAAAAAAACAUGCUGAAGCAUUAACAAAUGCCUUCUCCCUCCUGAUAUCUGAAAGAAAAUUAUCUAGAUUUGCACAUUCUGUUGCCUCCUCCGGAAGGCUUCGUGCCAAGAACAUGUUUGCAGAAGAAUGCAUCUUUGUUCUUGCAAAGUUAGUGGAAGAUAUCUUUGAUUUCCCAUCAGAUGUCUUGCUGCCAACCCCUGCUUCCCAACUGAAAAAUAUUGUAUGGGAAUGGAAUCUCUUUAGAAAAGAGCUCGACCAGAUAUCUAGUGAGAGAGGACAUCUGUAUAUAGAAGAUCAUUUGAGUGUGAAUUCGAGUGUUGUAUAUGACCUUGAGGAAGACAUGAUAAGUUACGUUGCAUUGGGAAAUGUCAGUGGGUACAAUCCUGAAGGUCUGGAAGAGGACAUGCCAACAGUUUUGGACUGGGAGAUCUUGAACGAAUUAGAGAGCUCUGACGAAGUUGAGAUGCUGGAAAGAGAGGAGGUACAACCAUUCUUUUGUCACUUUUGAAGUCUUUUUCAUCAUUUAACUGCAACCCCCCAUUUAUCUCUUUUAGCUGAUGGCAUCCUCUUAUGCUGUGCAGGUUGACGAAAGAUUGGAGAAAGAUAUUGGUGAAUGGGAUGAGAUUUAUCGUAAUGCUCGAAAAUCAGAAAAGCUCAGAUUUGAAACAAACCUGAGAGAUGAAGGCGAACUAGAAAGAACUGGGCAACCAAUUUGCAUUUAUGAGAUCUACAAUGGUGCAGGGGGUUGGCCAUUUCUGCACCAUGGUUCGCUAUACCGUGGGUUAAGCCUUGUAAGUUCCUCACAACUGGGUUGGUGCAUUGUACUUGGAUUACUAUUUUAUGGCCUUAUUAUGUAAAUCUGAUGGACCAAGUAUCCCCUAUUUUCUGAUUUCAUUUUAAUGAUUUCUUCCAUACUAAUCUAAGACCCGAUACAAUUUUGUUUAAGUAUUUAGGUGAGGCCAUUCAUUUGAUUAUAUUUCUCCUUUCUGUGCAUUAACUUGCUACUUCAAUAGUACUUUCUUCUUUUUGGCUUGCUGUAUCAGUCUACUAGAGCCCGGAGAUUGAGUUCAGAUGAUGUGGAUGCAGUUGGUCGGCUUCCCAUCUUAAAUGACACUUCUUAUCGUGAUAUUCUUUGUGAGAUUGGAGGAAUGUUUGCUAUAGCUAAUGGAAUUGACGACAUUCACAAGGGACCUUGGAUAGGAUUUCAGUCAUGGCGUGCUGCUGGGAAGAGGGUAUGCAUAUUUACUGUCAUGUGCAUCCAUCCUUACACGUAGACCAGUUCUUUUAAAUCCAAAUUACAUAAGAAAUUGAGUCCUGUCUCUACUACUCCCUUGAAUUAACGAUUUUUAGAACAUAUUACUCAUGAAUGUCAACGCUGCCUGCAUUUGACUAAUCUUGCUUGAUCAUCUCAGGUAUCUUUAUCUAAAAAAGCCGAAGAUGUUUUGGAGAAAACAAUACAAGGAAACACUGAAGGGGAUGUGAUAUACUUUUGGACUCAUCUCGAUAUGAAUGCCGGUGUUGUAGGACAGAAUGAUCUGCUUACGUUUUGGUCAACAUGUGAUAUUAUGAAUGCAGGAAGGUGCAGGUGAGUGUUACCAAAUAGCAUUUCAUUUAUUUACCUAUUCAAUUCUAUACUUAUCUUGUUUUCCUUUGAAAAGAUCGUCUUAGGCCCUUUAACAAUCAUUUCGAAACACCUCUAGUUAGCUGACUCAUAUUCUUUUGAUGAUUUCAAACUCACAGAACAGCUUUCGAGGAUGCAUUUCGAAGAAUGUAUGGGUUGCCAUCAAAUGUAGAAGCUCUUCCUCCCAUGCCUCAAGGUGGUGGGCAUUGGUUGGCCCUACAUAGCUGGGCGAUGCCUACGUCUUCUUUUCUGGAGUUUGUAAUGUUCUCCAGGUACUUCUUUAUGCACCAUUAUCAUUUCAUAACAUACAUUAAGCCGGCUUACUCUAUCGCUGCAUUACAUCGAGGCAGUCAAACGGAUAAUAGUUAGACUCUAACUGCGACGUUGAUCCCAGGAUGUUUGUUGAUUCUCUUCAUAGUCUACGCAUGAAUUCAACAAACACAUCCGCUUGUUUUCUGGGCUAUUCAGAACCGGAGGUAUGAUUCAAAAAUGCUAUAACUACCACACACACACACACACACAGUUUCUCAUGCUGAGUUCCACUUCGUGCAGAAGAAGCACUGUUACUGUCGAAUUUCGGAACUCCUAGUAAAUGUGUGGGCUUAUCAUAGCGCACGAAAGAUGGUUUACAUUGAUCCCAAUUCAGGCUCGCUGCAAGAACAACACCCUAUCGAUCAGCGGAAAGGCUUUAUGUGGGCAAAAUAUUUCAACAUCACCUUAUUGAAAAGUAUGGAUGAAGACCUUGCAGAGGCUGCAGACGACGACGACCACCCUUACAGACCGUGGUUGUGGCCGUUAACCGGAGAAGUUUUCUGGCAAGGCGUGUACGAGAGGGAGAGAGAGGAGCGAUACAGGCUGAAGAUGGACAAGAAGAGGAAGACGAAGGAGAAAUUGCUAGACCGGUUAAAGCACGGAUACAAGCAGAAGACACUAGGAGGAUAGACAGGCCGAUGAUCUCGUUGAUGAAACUAUCUGACUUGCACAUUGCAGCUGAACCAGUUGUCCAUUCUCAGAUCAGGAUCCGAGACGAGGCGUGCUCGUCGCGGCCUCGAUUUUCUCACAGCAUCGGGGAUACUCCCCCGCUGACACGAUCAUCUAACAUUACACGAACAUAGGCUGCCGGAGACGGCGCAGCGUGACCAAGGCCACAAGCCAGUCUCUCUCCCUCUCUCUCUACACAUGCUUGAAGCUUUUGUAAGUUGGCUCCAAGUAUCUAUUUGAGGUGUACCAAUUUUGAAUGCGGUUGUUUUAGUUAUACCAUAAACAUAGUAUAAGACUUGUAAGGUUUCUGUUUUUCUUUCUUAAAUUGUAUAUACCAUUCAUAAUUCAUAAUAAUAACAUAAUUCUAAAGAAAAACUAACCCUUUGAAGGAAACUUCUUCAUUUAUGUUUGUGGUUGUAAUAUUUUAAUUUUUGUUUUGCUAAAAUUGAACCUGAUUUGGAGGAUAAUUGCAUGACUUGAAAAAUGUAAAACGGGGUUGCUAUUGCAUAAAUAAACAAAACUAAGUUGUUGUUUGUAAAGUGAAAUCAAUUUACAAUUACAAACAAUGUAACGUGUGUGUAUUAAUAACAAAAUUCAAAAGUCGUGUGCUAAAUCAAAACUUAAAGUUUGUGUAUUUAAAUAUUUGGACUAUUAAUAAACUAGGAGUAAUAAAUUUGUUCCAGGGUUCAUAUUUUGUAAAUUGGAUUUAAUUUCUAAAAUGUUUUAAUUGUAUAAUCAUAUUUUGAUUGAUAACAAAUUUAAAAUUAUUAAUUUUUUCGGCAAAAAUUCAUUCUUGGAAUGAUAGUAUUAUUUUACCAAUGAAAUAACAUCAUUUUAACACUAACAAAAAUAGAGAAGUUGAAUUUAUUCCAAAAGUAAGAUGGAUUUACUGAAGCGCAUUAAUUUGCUACGAAUUAGAUAACGAUAUUAUUAAAACAUACUCUCUUCGUCCCAUGAAGUAUGACACAGUUAUUUUCGGCACGAGAAUUAAGAAAUUGAUAUUUUGUGUGUUAAGUGUGGUAGGUAAAAAAGUGAAAACGUGAAUAAAAAAUAAUUUUUUUGCUAUUUUUAGAAACGUGUCAUGCUUCGUGGGACAACUAAAAAGAAAACUGUUCAUGUUUCAUGGGACGGAGAGAGUAUAAAAUGAAAUUAAAAAAAAUGUCGAUUUUUUUUUUUUGAGCAGAAAAAAAUGGCGAUUUAAUUGAGGGGUUUUUGAAUGGUUUUUAGUUGACAUAUUUGCAAACACCUAAUAGCAGCUAACGACAACUUCACUGGAGCCGCCAUUGAACUGAGCUUCUUCAAUUCAGAGCUACCUCUCUCGAUCAAAUUGUGAAAAAAGCACCUAGAAUCCCAUUACACAACAGAAUGAGCGAUUGAUGAGUGUGCCGAUGAUUGUCUGUAAUAGCAGAAGAAGAGGUAUUUGCAAGAAGUUGGGGAAAUCGAAUUUGGGUUUGCAGGCUUGAAAAAUCUGUCGCCGUCGCCAUGUCUGUAAGUUUGAUGCUCAGCAGAACUUCUGUAAGGUUGCAUUUGUCCGUUUUCUAAAAAANAAAAAAAAUCCUAAUUUUGAGUUUCAGAGUUGAUUAUCAAUGGCGAACGCUAAACCAUGGCGGAUCAUCCCAAGACCCCUGCUGGAAACAGUGCUCAACAAUCACGUGCAGCACCACCGCGUGCCUCAGCCUCUCAUCCUUCAUGGCCCCCGUGGCUAUGGAAAAACCACCCUUAUUCUUGAACGUAAGCAAAUAUGACUCCCCCUUUUUGUAUGUGUGUGUGUGUCAUUGUGGUGUGCUGAGCCUAAUUAUGUGGAAUUUGUGGAAGAGAAGGUGGAAAGAUGAGAUACUGGAAUUGAUUCAUAAUAGCUUUACUUUUUAACUUAUUUAGAGAAUGUUUUCUAUGUUUUCGGAUGCAUUUGUUACAUGAUUAGAUUAUUUUCAUCUUCACCAUAAGGAGUUUUCCGAUCCUAGUCUUAGAAAUAGUUAAUGGCUUUAUGAUAUCCCAAGUUACUAAUCCAUCUUAGUAAACAAUGGAUUAGUCUAUACCAUUUCUGUCUAUCUUGGCUUGUCCUCAAAUGCAAAUGCCUCCUUGGGGUUUUAGAGUAAUGUGAUGUGUGCCUUGCAGUCUUUAGCGAUUAUCAAGUAAUAGUUUUAGCAUAACUCUUGCAAUGGGGUUUCAGUUAUCAUGUAUUGUUUGGUUAUGUAUGAGUAAAUGUUCUGAAUAUGUGUUUUGUGGUUCCCGACUAGUGUUGUUCCGUGUCCUUGGAGUAUUUAGUGCAGAUUUCAUGUCUUCAUGUCAUGUUUGGUGCAGCAAACCAAUUAUGUCUGAACUAUGACCUACCAUUCUGGUGGACUUGAUCUAAAGAGCCUUCCCAAUUUUCUUAUUGGCAGGUCUAUUUGAUAAAUGGAAUACUGGCCCGCACGUUACUGGUUAUGUCGACUUUGCAGAAUCAGUAAAGGAAUACCAUCCAAAGCAUGGGCAAUCAUAUCCAUGGACAUCGUGGACGAUGUGUCCGCCUCCUAAACUUGUUACGCUGAAGGCUCAGCUUGAGAACUGCCUUGAGUCAAUGGCCCAGAGGGCCAUAAAGCUUGGGACUAUUAAUUCCCACCAAAUAUUUAAGACUCUUACCAAAUGGCACAGUCCAACCACGGCCCUCAACCAGAUUUUGAAUGUUAAGACUGUUUCCAAAAUGCAUAUAGUUGAUAAAAAGAACAGGGUAUCCCCAUCAAAAUUGUGGAACACUGCAAUUUUUAAAUUUUCUUCUGCAUUAAAUGAGCAAGAGUUAGAUGGGGUUCUCGAUAAGAGCAUUUCUGUGGAGGAGUCAUCAUAUUACAAGGAAGCCAUGGCAGCACUGAAGUUGGCCAAAGAGGUGAUUAGGAUUCAAGGAAAGUGGAGGGAGAAUGCAAUUCAAGAUUUGAACAAUAGUGGUGGAUUUUCGCGUUCCCUAGGACAUUCUGCUACUGAUUGGCCUUGUUUGUUGCUAGAGUUAUUGUCUUUAGCUGCAGAAGUUGAUUAUUUUCAGGUAUUCAAGUUUUAUUCAAGUUUAAACUGAAAAGUUGAAGAAGGAGAGCACCUGUCAAUUUUCUAUCAGUUCUGACAAUCAAAACACGUAUGUUACAAUAUAGUGCACAGUUGGGUGUCUUUUUAGCUUUCUAAUAAUAGAAUUAAUACGAUCACUCUUUGUAGAUAUGAGUCUUGCUGCUUUCUUCAAAAGCACACCAUUAGUGUAAAUUGUGCAAACAGGAUCUGGCACCUUAUUGGUAAUAAACUAUGAAUGCAAUGUAUAAUUGGGGGAUUAUGAGAGACAAUUUAUUGUUGAUAGUUCCACCCAUGCCUCAUUUUUAACUUCUUUCUCUAUUUCUUCCUUUUUCCUGGGUACUGAUGAAAUAAGUAGCCAAAGCUGGUGAUAAACAAUAUAGAGCUUCUGAAAAAUGCUGCUUUAGAGAAUGAUAGAAUGAUAUGUGGAUCCACAUACCAUGACAGCCUGAUUUGGAGAAUAAUAGCUUUGGGUGCAAAUGAAAGGUGUCUUCCAGUAAUUUUUGUAACUUCUGAUGGGUAAGUUUUCGUAUUUAUUUAUUUCUGGUUUAUUGAAGCAUAAGAUCAGUUUGGUUGAAAGCAUAAAACAAAUUGACAUAGCUGCUAACAAAGUCAUCCAUUCAUUCUUGCUCUGAUUUUCAAGUGAUCAGAAGAUUCUGUAGGAUUAUUCUUUGACCCUCUUAAGCCUCCUGUGCUAACUCCAAAAAUCUUACCCAUAGUCUCUUUCAAUCCUGGGAUUUUCUAGUAGAGAAGUUUCCUCUCUUCCUGAUUACCCAAUUAUUUUUUGCUGCCUUUUUUGUCCUGUUUCAUCAGAUUAGCUAUCUUCUGGAAGGACUGACUGUUAAGUUUGGGCUCAUCUUUUACGGGAUCUUCUGAUCUCAUUCUUGCUCUGUUCCUUUAAUGGCUCAGAUUCUUUUUCACUCUACCACUGAAUCUGAUUUCAGGUUGAACUUAUUUGCCUGUUAUUCAGGGCAUAUAUGACCUUCUCAACGUAUGACUGUUUUAGACUAUGUUAUCAGCUAUUUAUGGCUCAUUUCAACUUCUUCAGGUCUUAUCUUCAAGUAGGAUGUUUAACCACUUAUAGCAACACUUUAAUGUGGUUAGUCUUAUUGACUACCUUACAUCUAGAUCAUUGCCCAAAAAACGAGCUAAUAAUAAAAUAGUUUGAUAUGUCUAAAACCAAUUGACCAAACAUUUCAGAAUAAUAAAAGCUAUAUUAAAGCUUUGUCUUGACCAAAAUAUUUAGCUUUAUGAGUUUGUGUUAUAACUUCAUAAUUGGUCUUCCAACUGAUUGUUGUUAUUAUUUAAUGCACCUGUUCUUCUCGUUGCUUAUCAUAGCUCAAAAAUAAUAUGCAGCUACUACUCAUAUAAAGCUUUUAUUGAUUUUGGAUUUCCAGAUGUUUUCAUCUCCCGUGAGGUAACCACCCUCUCUCUAUAUAUAUAUAUAAAUAUACGCAUAUGCUAUUAGUUAAGCUUUGAUUAUUUUGAUGCAAAUGUUAAUUUCAGACAUUUGGAUGGACUCCGGCAGAAGCAAAAUUGCAUAUGGUUGAUGAUUAUUUUAGUCAGUCUGAGGUAUUGUCAAUUGAAUUAAUAUUAGUCAUUUGUAUGUUUUGCGAUCAUAUGAUUAGUUUCUUGAAAGAAUUUCAUGUUUUCUUAUAAAUUAUAUGAAACUGGAAUGCUAAAAAAGUAUAUUAGAUUCUUAUCAGCAAUAAUUUUUAAUAUUGAACCCUGUUUGUUCCUGUUGUGUGGUCUGCCAUUACUCAAUUGGAUUUUGAAUUAUUGUUGUUUCUCUUGUUGCGAGAAGUAAGAAUAUAAAUCAAGAAGCAUCAGUAAUUGCAGGUCGAUGCUCUUUGGUCACCGUUACUUAAACCAUAAAGAUGGCAUGGGGCUAUGCAUCUAAUCUUGUUUCGGGUAUAACCUAGGGUUAUUUGAAUCUGAUUGUUAAAAAUUUACCAUUUCUUUCCAUGAUUUAUCUUGAGAGGUAAGAGAAGAUUUGGUCAAUAUGAAGAAACAAUUCUAACUGUAAUUAUGUUUCAUAAAUCCUAGCACCCUCAAAUGAAACCUUGUUUAGAACCAUCAUAGUCUUAAACUUAUCCAAAUUUGCAUUUGUGCUUAUGCUUCUAGAUAUACUUGAAAAUGUAGAGGUAUGAGAUACUCAAAUUUAUUUCUCAAAUGUUUCAUAUACUCACGUUGCUAAUCCAAUGUGCAGUGGGAAGUAAUUGUUGAGGUACUGGGGUCAAAUUCCCGACAUCUAUUUGAGGUUUAUGCUCUCAAGCUCAGUAAUUAUUACCAGAAGUAAGUUUUAUUAAUAGGCUAAAUUUCAAUAUAUAUACUGGUCAAUAUUGAAUUUAAUAUGCAACCUGUGCAUUUUCCUCUUGGUAAUCAUCUUGUUCUAGUUCUUUAGGUUUAGUUUUGCCUACACUGUUCCUAAAAGGUAUUGCCUUCACCUGUCAAUCUCUUGAUUUUAAAAGUGUCCAUACAAUGAACAUCUUGUCCAAUUUAACUAUUUUCUUCAUACAUGCUGAUGUUUCCAUCUCUAUCUGUCUUUGUCCAUGUCUACCUGUGUGUCUCCUGAUCAUACCUCCUCAUCACAACUAUAUUAUACACACAUUCCUGAAAUGCACUGUUGACUUUCCCAAAUGAGUGCAGUAGACAGCACACACCUUUUUCUAGUAACCAUCAUGACCUAACUGGCUCAGCAUUACCUUUUGUUUCCAACGAUAGCAUACGCUUCCACCAAACCACAAAUAACUUGAAAACUAUGUUAAUCAGUAAUCUCAGUUCUCUAAUCAUGGAAGGUGCGUUUUUGGAACCCCCUGCCUGUUGGUUAAAUUUUUGUCACUCUUCCUUUUCUCUUCAGUUUCCCACUAUUGUCAUUGAUGUUACCUAUCUUUUCUGCUCGUUCCACUUAUGCUGGUGGUACAAUGGUUGAGUUAAAAUGGGUGAGGAUGCUGCAUAAGGAACGGAAAAUAGUGGUUAGGAGAGAGAAGGAUGAUCUUGUUGAAAUGCAUCUUUUGCCAGAUACCAAACAUUUGGCACCCCUGACAGCUAACUUAUAACUUUGAUUUCAGGAUGCUGCAUAAGGAAUGGAAAAUUAGGUUUUAGUAAAAUGUUUCUAGCAGAAAUUAAUUGCAUUGAACUGACUACUAUAACUUACAGCGUGUAUAUUUAUCAAGAGUAUACAUUUUCUGAAUUAUGAAGAAUUAUUUUUUGAUUUGGAAAUUGUCGAGAAUUUUUUUACCUGGCUGAACAUGUAUAUCCUUCCAAUCACAGGGAGAUGAACUUUGAGAAUGAGACUACAUUUGAAGAUAUCAUGGACCUAUAUCUAGCGUACUUGCAAGUAAGGUUAUAAUAAGUUUAAAUUCUGAUCUGCAUUUCCAUUUCUUUUCCAUUUUCUACUUAUUAGGACCAGCCAACUUAGAGAACCACAAGUAGCAAACAACUAUACAUAAAAAGAAGGGAGAGGCUAAUUGGGCGAGAUUCAAUUUGGAGAAAUGGGGAAGUGUUGUUUACAAGAUAAUUGAGGCUGUCAAUUUUUUAUUCCAAGAUAAUAUGUUUGUAUUGCACAAAUAUUAAUUUUACCCUGUAUGUUACUUCAGUUUUACCAUAGUACAUAUUUUUUAUCAGAAAAUGUGGAAAAGCUAUUAUUUUCUCAAGUUCCACAUCCGUUUUCUAUUUAACACUAUUUAUCUGCUAUAGGUAAGCGUUGUUAAUCCUGCUAUGGAUAAAGCAUUAUUGCUCGUGGAAAAGUUUGCUGAUGAUGCACAAAAUGGGAAAAUCCCAGAGGAUGUAUUACGAGUCGGUGCUCCUUGGAGGCAUCCCCCCAAAACAGAUGUUGCAGCAUGGGCGAAAAUUCAGCUAAUGGACUUCAUUCAGUCUCUAGUGAAUGCAGGGUUUGUGGUAAAAUUUAAACUAAUACUGUGGUGCUACUUCUUUUCAAUGAGGAAAUUCUACAUUAUCUGUGAUUUUUUACUUGGCCAAAUUGUUCGUCAUUUUAUUCCUGCAUCUAAAAUGAGGUCUAAUUCUCAUUGACAUUGUUAUAUUAUAUUUCAAAAUACUACUCGAUUCAUGUUUUGUCCAUUUAAGCAAUUCUUAAAUUGCGUGAGAGCAUUUGAAAGUUGUCUCAAUUGGUAUUUGAGUUCUUCUGGAGGUUCUGCUCAUGUAGAACAGUUGGUCAGUUGAAUUUCUGAAAAAAUAAAAAUAGGAUUUUCCUUAAACUCAAUGCAGGUUAAUUACUUUGCUGACUGGAGCCUCGAGUUCUUGGAGGAUCCUGCCGCUGAUGCACUGCUACAGGUAAUAAUGACAUUUGUAAUUUUACUUUGUCACCUUAAUCUUGGAUUCUUAGUUCAUUGUAUCUCAGCAUUCCAGAAAUCCAGGAUGCCUUGUUUAAUAAUAGGCUCUUGUAUACCUUCAUGCACUUCUUUUACACCGAACUACUUCACUGUCAGAUUGGAGAGUUUCCACUUUCUAUAAGCUACAGACUGCUAUUGUCUUGAGUGAAUUUUUUGCAACUUCCUUAUUAUUAGAUUAUCCUUUGCUUAUAGACAAUAAAGGGUAACAGAAGUGGUGCUUUAUAGAAGAUUUGUCAUGAUUAGUCCUUUAGUUGCAAAAGGCAAUUAUCAUACCUAACAUGCAUGCUCCCUAUCCGGCUCAUAUCUGAGGGUGUGGCAUACUUUUAACAAUAUCAUUUUCGUAAUUUUAAUACAUUCUGCAGGUUGGUUUGUUGUACACCCAACGUGAUCCGUCUUUUAUUCGCCCGUCAGCCGUGGGAUCCAGAGGUGCCUUGUUAGAUGGUACGAUAUGCUGAUGCAUGGGUUUGAUUUAGCAGUUGAAGUGAGUACCUUUGUGGCAUGUCCUGACAUAUAUAAGUGCUUCAGGCUUGUUCAAGAACGGCUAAAUCUGAGCUUAAAGAACUCCGUUCGGUUCCACUGGCAGCGUGUCAUACGAGGCCGUAGCUAUCGGCACUUGUUGAAACAAGCUGGAGUGAAAUAGUGUAUGGUGGUACGUUCGAAUUCUCUUGAUUCAGCUUUGCUUUUCAUCUGGAGUUUGACUGUUGUAAUACUUUAAUAUGAAGAUAUAUGCUCUUGCAACAAUGCAAUGCAAAUGAAGGUUAUAUAAAUAUGAAUAUGCACUUUGAAGAAAUGCUCAGCUCUGCAGCUGUCAAAGUAGAUAUGAAGACUCUAACUGAAGUCUAUCCUAUUGAAAUUCAAUACAUAGUUUUACUGCAUUACUAAAUAUGAUACUCCGGUGCAUUCCUAGAAGCCAUACCAGUCUAUGGUCUAAUAAUGCGCUCGUUGUUUACAUCCGGUGUUCAUGAAAUAAGUUCAUUCACAUUGAACUAUUGCGAAUGCAGCAUCAGGUUGUUCUUGUAUGGCCAAGUUAGUGAAAGAUGAACUUUACUAUGCCACUCCAUGAAAUUAAGUGGUUCUGUUUCAGGCAACACAGCAGCAAUAGUUCGUUUAUUGGUUCGGAGCACUCUUCUGUCAUCAAAACUACACAGUAAGUCGAUGUCUACUGAUACCUUGUGCUACAGCUUUUAUCCAAAUCAGAAAUUUCUGUCAUAUUAGCUUUGAUUACGUUGUUACUGUUAUAAAUUUUUAGAGCAUCAUUUGUUCUUUGCCUUCUUCAGCUUCACUAAACGUCACCCUUCUCACCGGCUUAAAAUUGUACACUUCCUUGUAGACCAUCUAUCUGUUUUGCUGUCAUGUUCUGGAAAUCACGUAGAACUCUACCUCGUUAUCGAUUUGCUGCUAUUAGCCAUACAUCGUUCUGUUUCUGUUUCAAAAUCGUGAACAAAAAAAUAAUGUGCAGAAGUUGCAAGAACCAAAAUGGCCACAAAACAUUGAUAGUUAGUCUGUUUUCUGUAAAAUUGGUGUGUUAUUCAGCAUUCUUGAGUUAUAUAAUUAGCUAUGAUGAUGACUUACAAAUUUCCUUCCAUUGCAGUUGCGCGGCGGAAGUGAAGAUCCAAAUUUUGUUAUUGAAAUCAAACUGCAGAUUGAGAGUCAUAGAAAUAUCAAAUUCAUUUAGGAUACAAAUUUAGUUUGCAAUAUCAUGGUGUUUCUGUUAAAUAUCAGUUGAUGAAAUUUGUAUUAUGUGACCACAUUUUAAUUUGAGGAUGUGAAACUUACGUGGUGGUUUAUAUUUGUACUUUAAUUAGAUGAUUGUUUAAAACGAAAUAAAUCAAAUCUUGGUUGGAGUUAAACCAUGAACUUUACAAUUUUACAUAAUUUUUUUGACUUACCAAAUGAACUUUUCUUUUUGCAGUUUGAAUCCAUUUUCAAUUCUGAUUAAAUAUUACAUUAGCUUGUCGCAUUCUCUUAUAUAUAUACACACAUGAUUUUACUUUAUUAUUGUACUCUAAAUUUGACAGUGGAUAUAUUUAUUUUAGUAUAGUAGAUAUUAGAUUAUUGUUCGAAUCCAUCGGUAAUUACAUACCUUCAAAUAGUAUAUAGUACUUAUAGUUUUAGCUAGCAAGCAGUUUGUGUUUUUAAUGUAAUAGUUUUCUAUUGCUGACUUAUUUACUCAUAUAAUCAUAUCAAAAUUAUUUAUUCCAUGCCGUUUAAACCUGUAUAAAUUAGUUCCAUAAUAAAAAUUUAGUGCUUGUGUAUAUACAUUUCAUUAAAUCCUAAUUUGAUGUAUGUAAUCAAGGUCAUUAACUCGUAAAUUAAUACUUCAUUCGCCCACUAAAAACUUACUAAUUUUCUUUUAUGUGACGCACACAAAAUAACUUUCUACAUAUUUUUGGACUAUACCCCAUCAUUUAUAAAUACCUCAUUCACCUCUACUUUUUACAUUUUCACCACUUUCAAUACUAAUUAACAUAUUUUCAUCACUGUCAAUACAUUCAACAACCGAGAGAGUAUAUGUUCAAUGGGUAGCAACUUUAUUUGUCCUCAAACUUUCUAUUUUAUUUUUUUCAUGAAUGCAUAUUAUUUAUAAUUGUUCGAUUUUCAAUACAAUAACUCUUCCUACACAUUUUUUUUUUUACCGCAGAUGACACUUAUUUGAAGAUUACAUUCCUCAAUUUUGGCUUCAUAGUUGAUGCCACCCGAUGGGAUAUCCACCAUGCACCAAUGUACAAUACUAUACAAAAUCACAUAAAAAUACGAGAUAAAACACAACAUUAAACAAAAAAAAUUAUACGAAUUCAUAAAUUCCUAAUUUAUCAGACCAGGAUCCUCAACUUAAGAGUAGUAUCUCAUCUUCUAUUCCGAUCGUUGGACUGUCGUCACGUAUAUUCAAAAAUCUCACGACCAUUCAUCGAAAAUUUAUCAAAGUAUACAUGAAAACAAUCCAACGAUUCGAAUAGAAAAUGAAACUCCAUCUCACCAUCACGAAUAGACCAAGUGUUAUUUCCUAUCAAUCUUAAUUGAAAAGAAACAUCAAAUAUUUGGAGUGGAUGGAAUUUUCUUAGAGAAAAAAUGAUAUAUCUCAAUGGGAUUAAAUAUGUGAUCUUAAUUGAAAAGGACUUAAGCUAAAAGCUAGAACAUCAAAUAUUUGGAGUGGAUGGAAUUUUUUUAGAGAAGAAAUGAUAAAAUCUCAAUGGGAUUAAAUAUGUGUGGGUAAGCAAGCUUGUGAAGGAAUAAAGGUAAUGGUGGUGGUUAAGGUGGUGAAAUCACAUGAUAAUUUGUCUGCUAAAAUCUAAAAAUCACGAGGAACAUGUACCUUGAGCAUGAAUUUCUGUACACAAUCAUUGCACAUUAUUCCAUGUAGCAUAUCACACCUUUUUACCAUAUUCUACCACACUUUUUCCUCAUGCAUCAUCCUCUUCAUACACUAUUCAUUAUAUUUAUCAUCCCAAAUUUUUUUGUGUCACAUUCUUUACGUUUCAAUAAUUUAUUUACAAUUUUAUUCGGUUUAUGUAGAUUCGUACAAUGAAGAUCUAAUAAAUUUUAAGUAAAUUGUGUAUGUAGAAAGUUAGUAUUCUCACCAUCGCCCGGAUAAAUGCCUCUAUCUAUAUUAAAUCAUAUACCGAGAAAAAAGAUAAGUUUAUUCCAUUCGUCCAUAAAAAAUAAUAUAUUUUUGUCAUUUUGAAACGUUCACAAAAAUUAAUCCCGUUUCAUUUUUAGAAAUUUUCUAUUACAUGAUGAGCUCUUUUCUCCAUUAUAUCUCCACUUAUAAUAUAAUUAAUUGUCAUUACUAUUUUUAAGUGGGGUCCCUUCUCCACUCAUAAUACACUCAACUAUUAUUAUUAUUAUUAAGACUCGUGUUGUUCCCUUCUAAGACUGUUUUUAUGAACGGAUGAAGUAUUAUUUUUACCUUCAAUGAUUGCAUGUAAGAUUGAAUAAUUAAACAAUUUGCUUUGAGGACAAGAGUAAAAUUUAUUACUAUUUCUAUUUUAUUCAGAUUAUAUAGGUAGAUUCAUAGAAUUAGAUCUAAUAAUAAGUUAAAAUAAUUGUGUAUAUAAAAAACAAUAUACUCCACCCAUCACCUGAAUACGUGCCUCUUUCCGUAUUAAAUUGUACACCAAGAAAAUAGGUGAAUUUAUUCUUUUUACCUUCGAUAAUUGCAUGGAAAAAUUGAAUAAUUAAAUAAUUUGCAUUGAGCACAAGAAAGAGUAAUAUCAUUAUAUAUGAAAUACAUCCUUCAUAGAGGAUAAGUUUUAUUAUUUGAGGAUGCAAAGAGUAUGAUUUUAACACGAGCUAAUAUUGUUUCUAAUAUCUUAACAUUUCAAAAAAUAACUUGGAUUUUCCUUUUAAUUUCUCUCCAUAUAUACGCUAGUAUGAGAGUUUAUAAUUUGAAAAUAAUACAUAUAUGCACUCCAAUGAAAUCACUUAUUUUUAGUGAGAUCUUAGACACGAUCUCGUGCGUGCCUUGUUCAUCAAUAUAUAUAUAUAUCUUAUUCAUUACCAAUUUUUNAAAUUUCGUUAUUCAUCAAUCUGCAUGUCUUAUUCUGUUGUUCAUCAGUAUAUAUGUCUUAUUUAUUGAAAAAUAAGGGUCACAUUGAAGCGCACAUGUGUGUGGUUGUGUGAGAGAUCAUUUAAUUAAUGUUCACUAGCUUUGUAUGAUGAAUUAUAUGGUGCUUAGUUUCUUAGAAAGUUCUGUUUUUUAGAGUCAUGCAGUAAGUAGUCUGAAGACUAACUAAUGGAUACUAUUAUUUAAAAAUACUAUAUAAAUAGUAUUUGGCACUAUUCAUAGGCCAUAACAAAUGACAAAAUAGUCAAAUUGUACCCACCAAUUAUUAGAACAUGAGUUCCCAAAGAAAAUUCUGAUUAUUAAUUUAUGGAUAAAUUGCAGCCAAUAUUGCUAAGACCUAACAUAUAUAGUGAUUAAUUAAAUAAAAAAUAAUUACAUUAAAAUGAUAAAUUACAUCCGUAGUACCUUGAAAAUAUUUAAUUCUUCAUUUAAAAUCAAUAAAUUCAUUUUUUUUAUGACUAGUCAACCUAUAUGACUUCUCAUUAUUUGAUACUUGAAUCAAUUAAUUUAACGAGUUAUAUAUUUUUCCUCCAAAUUAAUUAUUUAUUCGCGUUACAUACAAGAAAAUAAAUUAAAUAAAAACCAAUCAUCGGAGAGAGCCCUAGUACUUGAUUAUAAAUACAUAUAAUCAAUUAAUCAUCCACAUAUAUAAUAAUUCAGCAAUAACAAAAUAAAUAUAUGGGAUGAAAAAAAGAGGAAAAUAAAUUGAAGGGAAGGGUGAAAAAAGAAAGAAAAGGGACAGUUCACGUGGAAAGAUUCAUAUAUAGUGUGGAUAAAUUGCAUAAAAUUGGUAAGUCCAACUGCACCCACUAUUUGUUUAUUAAUAAGUGAGAUCUGGUUGUUACGUGUAUUCAAGGCUCUUCUCCCAUGGUAUCCUAUGCUAAUUUGCUAAUGUCCUACCACAUAUAUAUACCAUUAAUUAAUUUAUUCACAAUAUCGUAUCAUACAAUCACAUACAAAUCUUUUUUUCUUUUUCUUUUUUAAUCUAAAUCAUUAAUUAUGAGGUUGUCAUAAAAAAAUAUUAUUGAUGACAAUGUAAAUCAUACAAUGAUCAAUUAUGACAAUCAUAUAGUAUCAUAUAGUGAUCGAUGAUUCAGAUUGACAUGCUCAUGUACCUGGUAUUAUAUACAUCCUUCGUCCAUCAAAUGAUUUCAUAACUUUUCUUUUAAUAGGAGAAGUUACGUGUAUAUGGAUUGAAUCGGGUAUAAAAACCAAUUUUAUUCCAUGGCUUUAAUAUGUAAGUAAAUCAUUAUUUUAAGCUUAAUAUAUCAAUCUUAAUCAUCCCUCAAUUAAAAUGAAUAUAUGACCUAAAUUGGUUUCUACUUAAGUAAUCAAGAUGGUUUUAUUUGAUCAUUCAAGCAUUCUACUAAUAUAGUAUAGUGUAUACCAUUUUCUCAUGUAGUUAAAUGGGUGGGUGAUCGAUCUUAAUUAUAAUUAAAAGAUUUUAAAUAUAUUUGAAUUUUCGCCUCAAAAAAUAUAUAUAUUUGAAUUUUGUCGACAGCCUCUUAGAAUUUGAAAUUUGGAGAUGGUUAAGGGGGGUGGAUUUCAAGGGGGUGGAAGGGAGGUGGCAAACAUUGCAUUAUUGCAUAUUGAGAUUUAGAUAAUUAAUUAAUUAAUUGCUCUAAAAAAAGAUUAGAUAAUUAAUGUUUCCGAUUCUAACAGCACCGAAUCAGAGGGGUUUGGAAACAUCCUCGCCGUUUUAGUCACCGUAUCGGAAUUUGUACAAUAAUAACUUAAAUAAUUUCUAUUUUAAUUGUAUUUUUUUAGGGGUCUAUUUUUAAUUGUGUUUUUUGUACAUCUUCAUUAUUUUUCAUGUAUACCAUUGGUUCUCCCUUCCUCCGAUUGAAACAAAAUCUUAUUUUUACUCGUAAUCCAAGUAUUUUUUUUUAUUAUUAUUUUUGAAUUACAAGAGAUAUCUAAAUAUUAUAUAAUUAAAAACCUGCACCAAAAAAGGUGAAAAAUAUUUGUGCCGCACGAGAGGAACCACUACACCACACAAAGAUAAAAAAAAUACACCGCAUGCAGGCGGAAUUGAACUCUGUUCAAGCUAAUGAAUCAAAUUUACAACAAUUUUAGCGCAAAAGUGAUUUUCAUAGUUGUAGUGCGUAGAGCUACAACUUGUGACCAAAAAUGAUAUACGUGGCUAGCAAUGUGGACGACACAUCGUUGGGGUCACGUUCAAAAUAAGAUAAAUUAAAAAAAAUAGAUUGGAUUAAAAUUAUCACAAAAUCAUAAUAUUAAGAUAAAUUUGUAUCCACCUACAAUAUUAUUUCAUCUAUGUUAGAUUAUGUGUCGUCGACCAAUUAUAAUCUGACACUAUAUCACUUUUCAACAAUUUUAUAAAUGCAAAUUCAAUUUUCUAAAAUUAAAAUUAUCACAAAAUCAUACUAUCUGCUCAUUCGAUCGUAUCUUCCAUAAUUUUUUUAAAGUUAGAAUAUUUCAAGGUGGAAAAAAAGAAAUUAAAACGACAAAAAUAGAAAGUAUGGGAAAAGCAAGGUAAAAUAGAAGAUAUAAUCCAAAAACCGCGUGAGAAGUGGUGGGAGCCCAUUUAGUUACCACUUUUAUAACUUUUUCAAGUAACGUAACUUCUAAACUUGCAGUUAUAGUUAGCACUAAUCCCAAAAAGUAAUGUCAAUUCCCCUCUCUCUCUCUCUCUACAUUUAGAUACACAUAUACAUACAUAUAAAUGGAUUGAAUGAAUUUAAUUAAUGUAGAACACCUCAUAAGCUCAGUAUCAACAGCAGAGCAUCACUUUAGACAGCAAUGGGAAUAAUGAGACCAAAUGUCAUCUAAGUUAAGAAUCUUUUUGGUCUAAAUAGGCUUCUAUUUUUUGCAUUAAUGUGAUCACUUAGGUUUAUGCCAUUUUAAAGUGAUUCUUCAAGAUUGUGGUUGUAUUUAUGUGGAGUAAAAGACAGAAUUAGACGUUACGACAGAAUGUGUAUUACUGGAUAUAUAUAGCGUGAUAUAAUCAACCGUUAUAAUUAUAGGCAAAUGGCUCUAUAUGUGAUAUUGGGAUGCUUAUACCUAGCUCAACUCAUCUUUGAUCAUCAAUUGCAAGAUGAAUAGGAAAGUUGAAAAUUGCAAUUUGUAGAAUCAUUAGUCCCUCAAAAUAAGCAAGGAAAAAGCACUUUGCAAUCUCCCUUUUUUCAAGCUUAAGUCAUCAUAAGUGUGAUAUAGAAGGAAAAGGCAAUGCUUACUUAUUUUAGGCUAUGAUGAUAAUAGGUCUAUUUUACUCUACACUCCAACUAAACCUAAAAUCAACUAUAUACCAAUUUUUCUAUACACCCACAAAAGCAUUACAAUAUCGAUUUAAAUCUGAAUCCCCAACUCGACAAACUGUGAGAUCGGCAAUAUCAUACAAGAUCUUCUUUAAUCAAAUACGACAAGCGGAAAACAGAACAUAGCGUAAAAUCUCACGAUUGCUAAAAAUGAAAGAAUUUUGGACAUAAAAGGCAUCUCAUCAAAUAGAAAGUGUAUGAUAUUAUGCAUUAAAUGAUCAAAACAAGCCAGAAAUAAAGGAGGCAAACAAAAAAAAUCCUUUCAAGAAUGGUAAAUCCAGCCCCAAAACCUGCAAAAAUCACAACAUAUUUCAUGUGCUAGGAGCCCUAGCUAUGACAAGCAACAAAAAAGAAAAGGAAAAUAGAAAUGGCAACAAACCAAGAAAAAGCCAAGAUUUGUGAAUUUAAGGAGAAAAAAAGAAACCCAAGAUUGAGAUGCAUCACCUCCAAAAGCAAACAGUUCAUGACAUAGACAUGUUACAAAAGUUAGCUCACUUGUGUAAGAAUAAAGAAACCCCCCCAACCCCCACCCACCCCCUACCACCCCACCCUCCCCACCCCCACCCCCCACCCUUUCCCUCACUCAAUUACCUUACAUCGCACGCCUCCCCCCCACCCUUAUACAUAAACAUAUAUUGACGCAAAAAAUAAAUUCACACACACUCUCUCAUUUUGCUUAUCAAAAAAACCUCACCAUUCCCCGCCCCCACAACACACGCCUCCGGCCCCCCCAAGCCCCCCAUCGGCAUCGAGGCGAAAUCCGGCGCGAGUAACGAUGUCUGCAGAUCUCGAAAUCAGACUUCCAAUCAUCGAUGCUGCGCCGACUUCUCAAGAUUCCGACAAGAUUGACAGCAUUGAUGGCGACAGCGAGAGCUGCAUCAGUGAGGAGGAAGAGUGCCUGACUCCGAAAUCAACGGAGCACAUGAUCCCGGCGGCGCUCAGCCCCCCGCCGGCGCCGAAGAAGCCGCUGCGGCGGCGGGGCUCCUCGUGCAAGAGGAAGCUCUACGAGCUCGACUUCUUCGAGGCCGUGGCCGAGGACAAGAUCGACGCCUUCUUCAGAAAGGCUGAGGAAAAUAUCGGCGGCGCCGUCGCCGCCGCCGCAAAGAGGAGAUGCGUGGUGUAAAGAGGAUUUCGGCUGACACGUGUUGUCUUGUUAAUGGUGAAAAUUUAUUUGUUUUUUUUUAUAUAGAGAAAUUAGUUUGGUUUGAGAAAGAAUUCUCAAGCCUAUGAUCAUGAUUCAUGAUCUUUAUGAAUUAUGUAUGUAGAUUAAUUACACGGUUUUUUUAUUUCUUUUAUAUAUAAUUGAAUUAUCUUUCUAUGAAUCUCCGAUUAUUGAGUUGAUUUAAUUUGUAGUUCUUGAUCAUAAAUUGAUUGGUGAUCAGGUAAAAAUAAUUUUUUGAUUUUUCGUGUUGG